RNAcentral lists this long non-coding RNA (66477 nucleotides) under Triticum aestivum (bread wheat). Its description in RNAcentral is "long non-coding RNA (TAES_LNC022747)". Lineage: Eukaryota; Viridiplantae; Streptophyta; Magnoliopsida; Poales; Poaceae. The record is from RNAcentral.
GGAAAACAUGUUCUAGAGAAUCUGAUAUGUGGUAAACACAUUGAACAUGUCAAGUAUCAAUAUAGACAUAUUUCUGGAAUUUUAAACUCAACAGAAAAUACAGCAAUUAGUUCUGUUGAUAAAACAAAGAGAGAAAAAAUCGAUGAAAUCCAGCCCAGAGAAGGCGGCCGGAGGUCACGCCAGGCGCCUGGGCUUGGGCCUCCACGGCCUUUGGCCAGCCCACCCGCCGCCACACCGCAUAAGAGAGAGAGAGUAGGCGACGGUUACGGAUAAGGGUCGGAGACCCGAAGCCCGCACCACCCCGCUCGAUCCCCCACAUCCUACACGACGCCGGCGGUUGGAGGGCGGCGGCCACAGUCGGGCGGUCUUGGCUGCGUGCAAGAGGGCGCGUGGCCGGGCGGAGGCCGGGCCGCAGGGCGGCCAGCGUAGCGCGGCGCACGGCCGGGCGUGGGACUCGGCGCGGUGGCCGGGAGGCAGCCGAGCGCAGCGCAGCCACGGGAGGAGCGCGGGGGCACGGCGCGGAGGCCGGGCUGCCGGGCGCGGGGCCACCUCCACCGCGUGAUGCGGCUGCGCUGCGGAGAGCCAGGCCGAGGGCCCUCGGCCCGGCGUUUCGUGGCUGUGGUCUCCGCUGCGCCCGGAGGAUUGAUGCUUCUGCGCGCGUCCUCGGCGAGGUUGUUGUCGUUGCAGUGAUGGCGAGACUGCGAGCGGAAGCGGCCGCUAGUUCCAGUUCAGGAAAAUAGAAAGAGACAUGGUACCUUCUUCUUCCAUUUGCAUGACCGGAUUGUUCUUAUUAGAAAUGCCAUGCCAUUUGCUAUAUGUAGUAACGUGGAAUAGAGGAGUCUAGCAACAUCAUGCUGUUUUUGUUUGAAACAUGGUUGUUUUUUCUUUGACUAUAGUACUACCCAGCACCACGGUAGUAGUAGCUGAUGUUGAGGCAGCUCGUCAAGUCCUGCCCAAACACAAGGCAGCAGCGCUUCCCCAUGGAGAUGGCCGACGCCUCGCCGCCGCGGCACUGGUCCGCAGGCGGCACGAAGCACCGCGGGUGCACGUCCACCCGGCACGUCCCGCACCGGUACCUCCACGCCACGUCGACGCCGCGCACAUGGACGCCACGCCGCCAUCCGACUUCUUGACGAGCCACGCGUCGUGGCCGCAGGGGUGCGCCACGGCCGGACCCCGCGCCACGGGCGGCAGGCGGACGCAGAGCGGGUGCACGACGACUGUCGCGGAGGCGCACGCACCGGUGCUGCAGCCGUAGCACGCGCCCUUCACGUCCUCCCCGCACACCUCGCACCUGACGUUGCCGCCGCCGGUGCCGUGGUCCGCGGUGGCGGCGGCGGCGCUCUCGCGCUGUUUCAGCCUGUGCUGGGAGUGGACGAUGGACUUGAGCGUCCUGGGGAAGCUGCGCGCGCAUACCUCGUGGAGCUUGAAGCCACAGCCGGGGUGGCCGCACAGGUACCGGGGCCCGGCGCCGGCAACCAGACAGCCGUCGCACGUGAACUCGCCGUCGUCAUCAGCGUCCGCUGGGAGCAGCCGGUGGCUGCCGUGGGCGAAGUAGGCGACGGACCUCCUCCUGCUACACAUCGCUUCCAAUAAUGCAACGAAUAAUCCACUGCUACUAAGCUUAUUUAAAGUAGAGAUCAAUGUAUGGCUUGUGGGGGCGACAGCUGUUUUGAAAUGUAAACCUUGUGGAAAUUACUAGUACUCCACUAGGGGCAGUGGCGGAGCCAGCGCCCGGCCACCCCGGGCACUUGCCCGGGCUCACUGGUCACGAGACUGUACACAUGUGAUAAACAACGAGGCAAAUUCUGCUAUGCAUGGUGGUUUACCCGGGCUGCAGGGUACCUGGCACUAGCCAAAAUAUGUCCAGUCACAGUCGCGCAUGGAUUGAAUUGUCCGUUUCUUGAAAAUAACACUUGAAUCAUUAACAAGUGGCCACGAGCCAACGGACCGCAUGUUCAUGUGCAAUGUGAGACUACUUGGACUACAAGAGCAGCUAGAACCCAUUCGGCAAAUUUAAAUCCCUAAACGUUGUCGUCCCGGAUGACCACACUUUUCAUACUGUGUGUAAACCUUCAUAUCCAUGUAAAUUUGAUUCUAAACAAAAUCCAUGUAAAUUUAUGCAUGUCCAUUAUAUAGCACAAAUCAUCAUUAGUUGAAUAAUUCGACAAAACAGAAUAAACCAUGCUUCAACAAUUCAACACAUGCCAAAAUAAAAUUCAACAAUUUAUACAUACAUAGAUUUGCGAUACAUGAAUGAAUCAAACGCCUUCAUUGUUAUGCUCUUUAAUCCUCUUCUUUAUGUUGCUCAACCACUUCUUGUCUGCAUCAUCUAAGAGGCUAGUGUCUUGCAAUAUGAUCUUCGACUCCUCUGUUUCUCUCACAAGUCUCAAUUUCUCUCUCCCGAGCUCAAUUCCUUGCAAUGUCGCCGCCUUUUCAAGCUCUUAUUUUGCAUAUUCUCUUACUUCUCCGAGUCUAUUCUCUCCCUCUCAAUGUUCAACUUCUCCUUCACCCUCUUCCAGUCAAACUUCAUCACCUCCCGUUGCACACCUAUGAAGAGCAUGUACCUCUUCUCCUUCUUCACCUCCUUGGCGGAAAAAAAUGCUCGUCCAUAUGGCAGACAUUUUGAUUGCAACGCCAUCACGUGUGUCCCUCUCCUUCUCCUAGUUGUUUCUCGUCAUCUGUCGGUUUCUCUUUUGCACGAUAGCUUGUACGUCCGCCGUUCGACUUUGCUCUUCUUCGCCAUCUAGUCCAAUUGAUUAAUGGGAGCCUCGACUUUGCUCUUCUUCGCCAUCUAGUCCAAUUGAUUAAUGGGAGCCAGGGUCAUUAUUUUUCUUCAUCUUCUUGGGGUCAGUUUUGAGCUUCUCAGUGAUGGUUUGCCACUUUGCUUUCCCAUUUUAUUUCAAUCUACAAUGGGACAAAGUGAAUGCCUUGCGCUUAGUUUGUUGGUACAAACUCAUUGCCAAAGUUGCAUGGCUUUGGAAUCCAAUGCCACUUUGGUUCCGGCCAACCACUUGUAUAUAGUAAAACAACAAACUAGUUGACGCUCUCAUGGAAGGUGGACCAUCUAUGUUGGAGAAUCCCUCAUUGCGGGUGGUAUGGAUAGGGUUUGGCUCCACGUAGUGCUUUUGCUGAUCAUGGUAGAGUUUAUAGCAUUUUUUUGCCAAUACUUGAUGCUCUUUUGCUCGGUUCCAUAUAUUGGAUCCAUGCUUGUGCCCAACCAAGAUUCAACCAACACCACAUCUUCAAAGGGUGCGAAUGUCGUACCUCUUGGCUUAACUACCUUUUGUUUUAGUGUGCGACGUUUGCCCGACUUCAAACAAAGGGGAAUGGGUAUUCCUCAAGUUAAAAUGCAUAGGCUCUUGACCAUCAUUGAUCAUGUUUAGCAUGAAUUCAUCCUACAAUAUGCAUAUGCAUUGCAAUUGAACUACCAUCCCUAGAUUGAUCCAAUGGUAUGUGCGGCAAAUGAAGCAACUAAUGCAAAUGUCAUAUGGGCAAAGAACGUACCAGAUCUUGGUCGAGAGUAUUGUCAAAUAGAAGGUGGGCAUGAUCGGUGCUAGCAUUGCCCGACGUUGUCCAUUGCCUGUAGAGUUGCAGCGGUUCAUGCACCGUCUCCUCAACGAUGACAUCUUCUAGGAAGCCAUCCGGGAUGCCUGGUCGCUAGGAGGCCGGAACAGACUCGAGUUGUGUCGACGGUUUCUUCCUUCCCGCGGCCACGAUGAACAAAUCGAUGACAAUCACUAGAUCGGACGCACCCAAGUCCAUGUCCUCAUCAUCGGUCAUCUCUGCACCAACUCUUUCUCUAGUUGUCUUCUCUAUCGCUUCCUGCUCGCGCCGCAUCCUUCGCCGCUCCCUCCGAGCGACGUUCUCUACCUUGAAGCUGACCCCCANNNNNNNNNNNNNNNNNNNNNNNNNNNNNNNNNNNNNNNNNNNNNNNNNNNNNNNNNNNNNNNNNNNNNNNNNNNNNNNNNNNNNNNNNNNNNNNNNNNNNNNNNNNNNNNNNNNNNNNNNNNNNNNNNNNNNNNNNNNNNNNNNNNNNNNNNNNNNNNNNNNNNNNNNNNNNNNNNNNNNNNNNNNNNNNNNNNNNNNNNNNNNNNNNNNNNNNNNNNNNNNNNNNNNNNNNNNNNNNNNNNNNNNNNNNNNNNNNNNNNNNNNNNNNNNNNNNNNNNNNNNNNNNNNNNNNNNNNNNNNNNNNNNNNNNNNNNNNNNNNNNNNNNNNNNNNNNNNNAGGAGUGCGGCAGCGCGGAUGGGAAGAAAGGGUGGAGGUGGGCGUCGGCUCGAACACAGAAAAAUGGAGAAGCACGUGGGAGGUGUGCAGUCGAUUUGGUGGACUUUGUCAAUUUGGAGAGGAUUUGGGAUGGGUCCCACCUGACGGAUCCAACAUGCGGACGUGUUCAGGCGUUCUCAUAUCUGCCCCACAUAUGGACUAGAUAUGGAGGGUGACGGAUAGCCCAGGCGUAUAGGGAUGGUUUGAGGGUUCCGGUCGGGUGACAUUUUUGUUACCGAUCACUGACCGGGCAAUCUGCCCAGACAUAUAGGGAGUAUUUGAGGUAUCCAUUUGUAGAUGCUCUACAGAAGACUUUGAAUACCAAUGCAAAUCAUUACCACCUUCAGGGUUUCAAAUUUCUAAACAAUGAUUAAGACAAAUUAUAUGUGGGUUAUAUUACAACACAUAUAUGUGGAUAAUGUUGCCUUUCUCCAUUGAAUUUGAAUUUAAAAGCAGUGAUGGGGCCAACCCCUUUUUUUAGCGCUUACCAUGCCUAAUUUCAGCCAUCAUACUAAGGGUAUGAAAGGCAUAUCUAGCUCCCGGGGGGAAAGCAUCACUAGGCACAUAUGAACUGUUCAAACACAAUUUAGUAGUAUCUAAAAAGAUUACACCUUAAUCCUUGUGUCCAAUACUAAUAAGUAUCUUUACAGACUGUAGAACUUCUAUUGAAAUUUCCAAGGAUUCCAACCUUACGAAUACUUUGAAUAAAAGGUAAUUUAGAGACUUGAAAUUAUGAAAUUCCUACAGAACACAAUCACAUGCCACUGAUUGCAUAUGAAUACUAGAUGAUUACCCCGUGCGUGUUGCAACACAUUUAGUCAAAGUUAGAUAUUGUGCAACCAAAUUUUAAGCUAUCUAAAAAGCAAAAUUAGAUAUUACAUAGAGAUGAGCACGCCAAGGGAAAAUGAAGAAAACCAAAAUUAGAAAUUUUAUUGAAAUACCACAUAUCAGCUAGGUAAAGUACUAGUAACUCAUAUGCUCGAUUAAUGUGCACUCAAAUGUUAGGUAAAUGCAACAUUAUGUGGUUUGUUACAAUACAUUGCACUAUGAACAUUCACAGCUUAUACAUGUUUUUCAUCACAUACAAAUUGGUUUCUAUGCUCCCUCAAAUUACCGACGUGACAUGCCAGCCUGCAACUUUUGAACUCUUGCCAUCCUCCUGGAGGUGAGUGCAGUUAGGGAAUGGAAUGCAUGAGAGCAAAUAUUUCUCUAUAACUUCAUUGAUUUGAACCUGUAUUAAAGGCUUCCACAUAAGCAUUUUAUCUUGAUAAAGUACACAGUCUGAGAAGAAGUAUUUAGUUGUUCUACAACAUAUUGUAAGCCAAGUAUCUAGUUUUCCAUCGAUGAAAAGAACAAUCAAGAUUCUAAGGUUAUUAUCAAAUUAAUGAAUGGAGAUGGUAGUUGUAUUAUCAAGAAAUUAUCACCAAGGAAUAUUUGCAUCGAUUAUUCAUGAAAAUUGCCAUGCCCUCACACUCUCUGUCUCUUUUUCAUGGAAUCUAAUCAUUAACAGGUAUGGGAUUCGGAAAAGUUUACUAAACAAUUAGAGAAAAAUUUGGAAGUUCAAACAAUAACUAAUUGUGAAAAAGACAUGUUGCAAUAUACUAAUGGAGUACAAUAUUUCAAAAAUUGCACAAUAUCUUCAGAUCAUCCUGGAAAUGCAUCUAGACAUCUCAUAUGAAAUAACUGCUUAUUCGAGGCUAUGAUAUUUAAACAUCAUAUAUGAAAAACAAUGAGGUUUCGUUUUAAAAUUUGUUGGCUAGCUAAAGUUGAAAAAUAGUAGCAGGACAUUAAAGAUCAUAAGAGGAAAACAUAUCUUUAUAACCGAACUGUUCAUCUUUUUUCUUUUCAAUAUAUAUGCAGAACUGAAUCACAGAUGGGACAAUAACCUUCCAAUCUCCAACAUGGUGUGGAGUUCAUUAGUCAUUUAGGGAACACAAAAAUCUAGCCAAAGAUGCAUACAAAAAGUGUAGUAUGAAAAAAUCAAUAUGGUAUACUUUACUGUACCCUUCAUGCGCAAACCGAGGAUAUCGAGGAAUUGAAAAGCAAUAUAGAAAUAUGUUGAUACACAUCAACUCUAGGUAAAAGUGCAAAGUAAAUAAAUUGUUAUAGCAUAAUCAAAACUUAAUGACAUAGAUAAGAAAAACAUGAGCAAAUGAACACAAGCGAUCAAAGUCACAACCAAUAAAUCCAUGCAAUCCAAAAUCGAAGUUGUGGGAAUUCACGAAAGGAUUGGGUCCAAUUCAUUGACGUCAUCAGCAUAUGCCUCCUUGACGUGGGCCUCAAUGCCUCACGUGUCCUUGAUUGCCUGUCCUUGCAGCACUACAACAUAUCAUGAAUAUGACCAUGAGGUGUUAGCUGGAAUUUGACGGGAGUGUGGAGUAACUGUCGGGGAAUGCAAUAAUUUCAAAAAAAUUCCUACCCACACGCAAGAUUCAUCUAGGUGAUGCAUAGCAACGAGCGGGGAGAGUGUGUCCAUGUACCCUCAUAGACCGAAAGCGGAAGCGUUUAGUAACGCUGUUGAUGUAGUCGAACGUCUUCGCGAUCCAACCGAUCCAAGUACCGAACGCACGGCACCUCCACGAUCUGCACACGUUCAGCUCGGUGACGUCCCUCGUACUCUUGAUCCGGCUGAGUCUGAGGAAGAGUUUUGUCAGCACAACGGCGUGAUAACGGUGAUGAUGAAAUUACUGACACAGGGCUUCGUGCUAUCUCUUGAGCAUGCGUUGGUUUUCUCUUGAAGAGGAAAGGGUGAUACAGCAAAGUAGCGUAAGUAUUUCCCUCAAUUUUCGAGAACCAAGGUAUCAAUCUAGUAGGAGAUAACACGCAAGUCACCUAGUACCUGCACAAAUAAUCAAGAACCUUGCAACCAACGCGAUAAAGGGGUUGUCAAUCCCUUCAUGACCACUCGCAAAAGUGAGAUCUGAUAAAGAUAAUAAGAUAAAUAUUUUUGGUAUUUUUGUUGUAUAGAUUGAAAAGUAAAGAUUGCAAAAUACUAAACGAGAUGCGAUGUAAAUAAAAGAGAUGCAAUAUAAUAAGAAAGAGACCCGGGGGCCAUAGGUUUCACUAGUGGCUUCUUUCAAGAUAGGAUGUAUUACGGUGGGUGAACAAAUUACUGCCGAGCAAUUGAUAGAAAAGAGCAUAGUUAUAAAGAUAUCUAAGGCUAUGAUCAUGAAUAUAGGCAUCACGUCCGUGUCAAGUAGACCGAAACGAUUAUGCAUCUACUACGAUUACUCCACACAUCGACCGUUAUCCAGCAUGCAUCUAGAAUAUUAAGUUCAUAAGAAUGGAGUAACGCAUUAAGCAAGAUGACAUGAUGUAGAGGGAUAAACUCAAGCAAUAUGAUAUAAACCCCAUCUUUUUAUCCUCGAUGGAAACAAUACAAUACGUGCCUUGCUGCCCCUGCUAUCACUGGGAAAGGACACCGCAAGAUUGAACCCAAAGCUAAGCACUUCUCCCAUUGCAAGAAAGAUCAAUCUAGUAGGCCAAACUAAACCGAUAAUUCGAAGAGACUUGCAAAGAUAUCAAAUCAUGCAUAUAAGAAUUCGGAAAAGAACCAAAUAAUAUUCAUAGAUAAUCAAGUUCAUAAAUCCACAAUUCAUCGAAUCUAGGCAAACACACUGCAAAAUAUUUAAAUCAUGCACAACCCCGAUGACAAGCCAAGCAAUUAUUUCAUACUUUUGAUGUUCUCAAACCUUUUCAAUUUUCACGCAAUACAUGAAUGUGGGCCAUGGAUAUAGCACUAUAGGUGGAGUAGAAUGGUGGUUGUGGAGAAGACAAAAAGGAGAAGAUAGUCUCACAUCAACUAGGUGUAUCAACGGGCUAUGGAGAUGCCCAUCAAUAGAUAUCAAUGCGAAUGAGUAGGGAUUGCCAUGCAAUGGAUGCACUAGAGCUAUAAGUGUAUGAAAGCUCAACAAAUGAAACUAAGUGGGUGUGCAUCCAACUUGCUUGCUCACGAAGACCUAGGCAAUUUGAGGAAGCCCAUCAUUGUAAUACACAAGCCAAGUUCUUUAAUGAAAAAUUCCCACUAGUAUAUGAAAGUGACAAUAUAGGAGACUCUCUAUCAUAAAGAUCAUGGUGCUACUUUGAAGCACAAGUGUGGUAAAAGGAUAGUAGCAUUGUCCCUUCUCUCUUUUUUUCUCAUCAUUUUUUUAUUUGGGACUUUCUCUCUUUCUUUAUGGCCUCUUUUAUUUUUUAUUUUUUUUAUUUUUCGUCUGGAGUCUCAUCCCGACUUGUGGGGGAAUCAUAGUCUCCAUCAUCCUUUCCUCACUGGGACAAUGCUCUAAUAAUGAUGAUCAUCACACUUUUAUUUACUUAUAACUCAAUACUUGAACAAAAUAUGACUCUAUGUGAAUGCCUCCGGUGGUGUAAUGGGAUGUGCAAUGAAUCAAGAGUGACAUGUAUGAAAGAAUUAUGAAGGUGGCUUUGCCAUAAAUACGAUGUCAACUACAUGAUCAUGCAAAGCAAUAUGAUAAUGAUGGAGCGUGUCAUAAUAAACGGAACGGUGGAAAGUUGCAUGGCAAUAUAUCUCGGAAUGGUUAUGGAAAUGUCAUAAUAGGUAGGUAUGAUGGAUGUUUUGAGGAAGGUAUAUGGUGGGUGUAUGAUACCGGCGAAAGGUGCGCGGUAUUAGAGAGGCUAGCAAUGGUGGAAGCGUGAGAGUGCGUAUAACCCAUGGACUCAAUAUUAGUCAUAAAGAACUCACAUACUUAUUGCAAAAAUCUAUUAGUUAUUGAAACGAAGUAUUACACGCAUGCUCCUAGGGGGAUAGAUUGGUAGGAAAAGACCAUCGCUCGUCCCCGACCGCCACUCAUAAGGAAGACAAUCAAAAAAUAACUCAUGCUCCGACUUUAUCACAUAACGGUUCACCAUACGUGCAUGCUACGGGAAUCACAAACUUCAAUACAAGUAUCUCUAAAAUUCACAACUACUCUACUAGCAUGACUCUAAUAUCACCAUCUUCAUAUCUCAAAACAAUCAUAAAGAAUUAAACUUCUCAUAGUAUUCAAUGCACUUUAUAUGAUAGUUUUUAUUAUACCCAUCUUGGAUGCCCAUCAUAUUAGGACUAAUUUUAUAAGCAAAGCAAUUACCAUGCUGUUCUAAAAGACUCUCAAAAUUACAUAAGUGAAACAUGAGAGAUCAAUAAUUUCUAUAAAAUAAAACCACCACCAUGCUCUAAAAAGAUAUAAGUGAAGCACUAGAGCAAAAUUAUCUAGCUCAAAGAUAUAAGUGAAGCACAUAGAGUAUUAUAAUAAAUUCCGAUUCAUGCGUGUCUCUCCAAAAGGUGUGUACAGCAAGGAUGAUUGUGGUAAACUAAAAAGCAAGGACUCAAAUCAUACAAGACGCUCCAAGCAAAACACAUAUCAUGCGGUGAAUAAAAAUAUAGCCUCAAGUAAAGUUACCGAUAGAUGAAGACGAAAGAGGGGAUGCCUUUCGGGGCGUCCCCAAGCUUAGGCUUUUGGUUGUCCUUGAAUUUUACCUUGGGGUGCCUUGGGCAUCCCCAAGCUUAGGCUUUUGGUUGUCCUUGAAUUUUACCUUGGGGUGCCUUGGGCAUCCCCAAGCUUAGGCUCUUGCCACUCCUUAUUCCAAAAUCCAUCAAAUCUUUACCCAAAAACUUGAAAACUUCACAACACAAAACUUAAACAGAAAAUCUCAUGAGCUCCAUUAGUAUAAAAAAAUAAAUCACCACUUUAAGUUACUGAAAUGAACUCAUUAUUUAUUUAUAUUGGUGUUACACCUUCUAUAUUCCAACUUCUCUAUGGUUCAUACCCCCCGAUACUACUCAUAGAUUCAUCAAAAUAAGCAAACAACACACGAAAAACAGAAUCUGUCAAAAACAGAACAAUUUGUAGCAAUCUGUAUCAAACGCAUACUUCUGGAACUCCAAAAAUUCUGAAAUAAAUUGGUGGAUGUGAGGAAUUUGUCUAUUAAUCAUCUGCAAAAAGAAUCAACCUAAAAGCACUCUUCAGUAAAAAAAUGGCAGCUGUUCUUAUGAGCGCAAAAGUUUCUGUUUUUUACAGCAAGAUCGCAAAGACUUCACCUAAGUCUUCCCAAAGGUUCUACUUGGCACAAACACUAACUAAAACAUAAAACCAUUUCGCAGAAAGGAAUAUCAAACAGAAUCCAAACGUAAUGAAACCUUCGGGAGAGUUACUUUUGGAACAAACACAAUUCAGGAGACUUGGAGUGGACGUCAAGGAAGCAACGAGGUGGCCAUGAGGCAGGGAGGCGCGCCCAAGGGGGCUAGGCGCACCCCCACCCUCGUGGGCCCCUCGUGGCUCCAUCGACCUACUUCUUUCGCCUAUAUAUACUCAUAUACCCCAAAAAGAUCCAAGAGCACCACGAAACCCUAUUUCCACUGCUGCAUCCUUCUGUACCCGUGAGAUGAGAUCCCAUCUUGGGGCCUUUUCCGGCGGUCCACCGGAGGGGGAAUCGAUCACGGAGGGCUUCUACGUCAACACCAUAGCCUCUCCGAUGAUGUGUGAGUAGUUUACCACAGACCUUCAGAUCCAUAGUUAUUUGCUAGAUGGCUUCUUCUCUCUCUUUGGAUAUCAAUACAAAGUUCUCCUCAAUCUUCUUGGAGAUCUAUUUGAGGUAAUUCUUUUUGCAGUGUGUUUGUCGAGAUCCGAUGAAUUGUGGGUUUAUGAUCAAGAUUAUCUCUGAAAAAUAUUUGGUUCUUCUCUGAAUUCUUAUAUGCAUGAUUUAAUUAUCUUUGCAAGUCUCUCCAAAUUAUCGGUUUAGUUUGGCCUACUAGAUUGAUCUUUCUUGUGAUGGGAGAAGUGCUUGGCUUUGGGUUCAAUCUUGCGGUGUCCUUUCCCAGUGACAGCAGGGGCAGCAAGGCACAUAUUGUAUUUUUGCCAUCGAGGAUAAAAAGAUGGGGUUUAUAUCAUAUUGCUUGAGUUUAUCCCUCUAUAUCAUGUCAUCUUGCCUAAUGCGCUACUCUGUUCUUAUGAAGUUAAUACUCUAGAUGCAUGCUGGAUAGCGGUCGAUGUGUGGAGUAAUAGUAGUAGAUGCAGAAUCAUUUUGGUCUACUUGUCGCGGACGUGAUGCCUAUAUACAUGAUCAUGCCUAGAUAUUCUCAUAACUAUGCGCUUUUCUAUCAAUUGCUCGACAGUAAUUUGUUCACCCACCGUAGAUUAUUCUAUCUUGAGAGAAGCCACUAGUGAAACCUAUGGCCCCCGGGUCUAUCUUCCAUCAUAUUAUUUACCUAUCAAUUUUCUAUUUCUAUCGCUGUUUAUGUUGCAACCCUUACUUUCCAUUCUAUAUCAUGAAAAUACCAAAAAUAUUUAUCUUAUUAUCUCUAUCAGAUCUCACUUUUGCAAGUGGUCGUGAAGGGAUUGACAACCCCUUUAUCGCGUUGGUUGCAAGGUUCUUAUUUGUUUGUGCAGGUACAAGGCGACUUGCGUGUAACCUCCUACUAGAUUGAUACCUUGGUUCUUAAAAACCGAGGGAAAUACUUAUGCUACUUUGCUGCAUCACCCUUUCCUCUCCAAGGGAAAACCAACACAUGCUCAAGAGGCAGCAAGAAGGAUUCCUGGCGCCAUUGUUGGGGAGGCUUACACCAAGUCAAGUCAAGAUUUGAUCUCCCGCCAACGUGCGAUUUCUGGCGUCAUUGCCGGGGAGAUCUACGCACAAGACAAGACAUACCAAGUACCCAUCACAAACUCUUAUCCCUCGCAUUACAUUAUUUGCCAUUUGCCUCUCGUUUUCCUCUCCCCCACUUCACCUUUGUCGUUUUAUUCGCCCUCUUUUUACGUUCGUCUCCUUUUGCUUGCUUCUUGUGUGCUUGAUUGUUUGUCACGAUGGCUCAAGACAAUACUAAAUUGUGUGACUUUUCCAUUACCAACAACAAUGAUUUUCUUAGCACUCCGAUUGCUCCUAUUACCGAUGCUGAAUCUUGUGAAAUUAUUGCUGCUUUGCUGAAUCUUUUCAUGAAAGAUCAAUUUUUUGGCCUUCCUAGUGAAGAUGCCGCUACCCAUCUAAACACCUUUGUUGACUUGUGUGAUAUGCAAAAGAAGAAAGAUGUGGAUAAUGAUAUUGUUAAAUUGAAGUUAUUUCCGUUUUCGCUUAGAGAUCGUGCUAAAACUUGGUUUUUGUCUUUGCCUAAAAAUAGUAUUGAUUCAUGGAAUAAGUGCAAACAUGAUUUUAUCUCUAAGUAUUUUCCUCCCGCUAAGAUCAUCUCUCUUAGAAACGAUAUAAUGAAUUUUAAGCAAAUUGAUCAUGAGCAUAUUGCACAAGCUCAGGAGAGGACAAAAUUAAUGACACGUGAUUGCCCUACUCAUGGAUUGAAUUUAUGGAUGAUCAUACAAAAUUUUUAUGCUGGAUUGAAUUUUGCUUCUAAAAAUCUUUUAGAUUCGGCCAUGGGAUGCACUUUUAUGUAAAUCACUUUGGGAGAAGCUACUAAACUCCUAGAUAAUAUUAUGGUUAAUUAUUCUCAAUGGCACACCGAAAGAUCUACUAGUAAAAAGGUUCAUGCAAUAGAAGACACUAAUGUUUUAAGUGGAAAGAUGGAUGAACUUAUGAAAUUGUUUGCUAAUAAGAGUAUUUCUUCUAAUCCUAAUGAUAUGCCUUUGUCUACUUUGAUUGAGGAUAAUAAUGAAUCUAUGGAUGUGAAUUUUGUUGGUAGGAACAAUUUUGGUAACAAUGCGUAUAGAGGAAACUUUAAUCCUAGGUCGUUUCCUAGUAAUUCCUCUAAUAAUUAUGGUAAUUCCUACAACAACUCUUAUGGAAAUUUUAAUAAUAUGCCCAUCGGUGUCAAAACCGGCGGAUCUCGGGUAGGGGGUCCCGAACUGUGCGUCUAGGCGGAUGGUAACAGGAGACAAGGGACACGAUAUUUUACCCAGGUUCGGGCCCUCUUGAUGGAGGUAAAACCCUACGUCCUGCUUGAUUGAUAUUGAUGAUGUGGGUAUUACAAGAGUAGAUCUACCACGAGAUCAAGGAGGCUAAACCCUAAAAGCUAGCCUAUGGUAUGAUUGUUGUUAUUCUACGGACUAAAACCAUCCGGUUUAUAUAGACACCGGAGAGGGCUAGGGUUACAUAGAGUCGGUUACAAUGGUAGGAGAUCUACAUAUCCGUAUGGCCAAGCUUGCCUUCCACGCCAAGGAAAGUCCCAUCCGGACAUGGGACGAAGUCUUCAAUCUUGUAUCUUCAUAGUCUUGGAGUCCGGCCGAUGAUGAUAGUUCGGCUAUCCGGACACCCCCUAGUCCAGGACUCCCUCAGUAGCCCCCGAACCAGGCUUCAAUGAUGACGAGUCCGGCGCGUAUAUCGUCUUCGGCGUUGCAAGGCGGGUUCUCCUUCAAACUUCAUGUACCUGUCGAAUAGCGUCCGGCUUCCUUAUAAAUGUUGCGCUCCUUGGCUUCUACGUCCAAUAAUGGCCCUCUUCCACGUGUCAUAUGAAUGCGAAAAGCUAGGGUAUUUUUACGUUUUACCCCCUAGCCACGCGAACGAGCUGCCUAUAAGAGAGGCGAGGAUCUAGAUCCAACUCACACCAUCCUCCUUCCGCAAGUACUCAUCGAAGUGCCUCUGACAAAAAUCCAUUCCAUCAUGGAUAGUCGACGCGGCUCCUCCUCUCGCGCUCCCAGCCCUCAGCCAGGAGAUUGGGGGAAAUGCUCAGUUCCACACAGCGAGCUAGUGACACUCCAAACCGAGGGAUAUCUUCCCCCAGCCUUCAUGGUUCCGGUUCGAGCCGGACUGGCCACCUUCAGGGGUGGAAAGCAGGCGGAGAGCGUCACCAACCCUUCCAAAGGAGAGCGGGUAUGCUUCGUCCCUUAUCUAAUAAGGGGACUCGGAUUUCCCAUACAUCCGUUUCUCUGGGGGCUCCUGGAGCUCUACGGACUCCAGCUUCACCACCUUACACCUGCCUCCAUUCUGCACAUCGCGGGCUUUGUAGCUCUUUGUGAGCUGUUCUUGGGCAUCGAGCCCCAUUUUGCACCGUGGAAGAGAUUGUUUUGCCUCGUACCCCGUUCUCACGAGGGGUCGAUAUAUCAAGUGGGCGGAGCCGAAAUAUGGCGCAUCGUCGGGACCGGAUAUCUAUCCGGUACCCCGAAGAAGGCGUCCGAAGACUGGCCUUCAGAAUGGUUCUAUAUGGAGGACGCCCCUCUGCCGGAUCCAGUUCGGAUCGGCCUCCCGGAGUGCAGCAACGCUCCCUUGAAGAAACGCCUGAGUUGGCGCCCGCGAAGCCCUCAACGGGAAGAUCAUGGGAGCGUCCCUUAUCUGAUGGGCCGAAUAAAGUUACUGGCCCACUCCGGAUUGACCAUGAUUGGAGUCAUGGACACAUGCAUCAUGCGAGGGGUGCAGCCGCUUCAAUAUAGGGGCCACCCCAUGUGGGAUUUCAACGAGGAAGAUGACGCCACCCGUCAUGGCCGCAAAGGGCCGGGAUCGGCCGCCGAUCUUAAAGAUCAUGUCCGGCUUGUACAAGGGGGAGAAGGAGGACUUUCUCCGCACGAGUCCAUUAAAUGGAUUCUCCAUGAAUAACCCUCGGAGCUGGGUAAGCGGACGUUUAUCUAUCCGAUCCAUAUUCCCAAAGUCAAGUGUCUUACUUUGUGAUUUUGACGCAGGAGCUGCGCCGGGACGUGGAGGGCAUACAAAGCCUGACUCCACAGCCCGAGGAUCUGGGACGAUCCCUUGAUCCGGCCUCCGAAGAGGAUCUGGACAUAAAGGUGGAGCUGAUUGACGGGGUGUUCCACCAACUUAGCAUGGACAAUGUUCUAGUCACCAUUACGGCUGACUAUCCCGGUUUAUCUCCAGCUUCCCAGGUGACUACGACCGGAGUCCUGACACCAUUAUUUGAUUCAUGCUCAUUUCUGACCAUCAUAUACCGAUGGUGCAUUGCAGGAAGCGUCUUUAAGGCGGGAAGCCGAACCCGCGGUGGCUGACCAACAAGGGUCAGUUCGGCCCAGCAGGCGGAAGAGGAGUGCGUCGCGAAUCGAAACAUCGCCGCAACGGUACGGCGCACCGCCGUUUUUAAGGGAAAGAUCCCUAGGAGGUAUAUUAACGCUCAUGACUUUUCCAGGAGAAAGAGCGCUCGCCGGACAGUGUCCGGAGAGGUUGCCAAUCAAGCCUCCGCCAGCCAUGCUCCAACGCGUGGUCCGGAAGGGGAGGCGAACACAAGGCAUGAGCCGGAUGCUCCUCCAACGGAGGAUGCCGACAGGCUGUCCGCCACCAGGUCUGAGGUGGAGAGCGCCAUGAAUCACAGGCGUCGCGGGACAGUUCUUCGUGACGCGUGUUUCUCCCCGGAGGCGUUGAAUGCCUUUAAUGCGGGAGACACGCACCUCCGUGCCGCUCAAGAUGGUUUAACCAGAGCCACGGAGCAGUAUUUGAAGGACAUACGGGCAAGGAAUUUUAAUAGUUAUAUAUGCCAGUAGCCCCCGAGACUUAAAAUAGUUAAAAUAACUGAUUUAAGGAUCAUUUGUUAUGCAGGAUCUUACGGAGAAGAAUACCCACCUGUCCCAGGAGCUUCAAGAGUGCAAGGCCCAACUUGAGGCCGCACUGGCCGCCACAGGGGGAGCUACGGAGACCCCUGCUGGUAAUACAUACUUCGAAAAGAUAAGUAGUUAAUAAAGUGCAGCGUGUGCGUAAAUCUGACAAUAAUAUUGCAGAGGGUGCCGGACUAGAUCCGGACAAGCAACAGCUACUGCGCCAGCUGAAGGCUAGCGAGAGGGUGCUUAUGAAGGUGCAGCAGGAGAGGAACAAGCUCCAAGAUGCCCACACCCAGCUGGGAGAAGAGCUGAAAGGUGUUCGGGCCCAGCUGUUUGGCUCCGUGAAGGAGAAUCAGCGGCUUCGUCACGGCAUUUAUAGUAAGUGCUUGAGCAAACUCCUUUGAAAAGAAGAGUUCGGCGAGGAAGUCGAUUGACAGAAAUGUGUCUUAUAGGUGUGCUCACAGGUCGCCCUGCGGAGGAAAUGCCCGGUUCAACGGGUGACCAACUCCUCGAGCUGAUGCAACUGCACGAACGUGUUCGGCAAGCGAUGAGUGGCAUCGCCCAGGCCUUAUGGCCGUCCGUCUCCCUACCCGAAAGCCUUGAAGGGCUUGCCGAGAAGCUGCAGGGAGCACGACAGCGCUUCCAUCUGUGGAAGAUAUCGGCCUGCCGUCAAGGCGCCAGGGAGGCCUGGGCCAUGGUGAAGACGUGGUACAAGAAGGUGGAUCCGAACCACAUGGCCGAGGUCGGACCCGUGGGGCCCGAUGGGAAGGAGAUCCCUGUGAGCUUAAUGUACGGCCAAGUAGAGUUGGCCGCUAAGUAUUCCCAACAGGACUGUAAAUUAGACAGCCUGUUAGACGGGAUUGAAGAGGAGUACAAUCAGUCAAUUUGAUGAUGUAUUUUAAAAUGACAUGUAAAAUGCCUUCUAGCCGGAUUGUAGAUCGUUUGUCUUUGCCGACCUUUUCGCUUCAACCUCGGGACCCUAGAGUCCGGAGUGUGUCCGAAUACCUUCUCAGUUAUGAAAAAACCGGGGCAAUGCAUGGAGACCAGGCAUAGGGGUCAUUAGUGCUUUAUCAGACAAGUGCCCAACUAGUUAUGUUAUAUUACAUGGUUAGUAAGAAACAUCUUCCAGGGAGAAUAGUUCCGUUAGGGGUUCCUUUCCUUGGGAGGCAUGCCCUGAGGUGCAUGUCCGUACUGCGAAGAGAGCAGAAAAAGCAUCUGGAGGCGGAUAAGUUAAAUAAGUAAUAAAUCAUCUUUCAAGUCACCGACCGAAUAUUCCCUUAAGAACGCUAGCUUUCAGCUUCACCCAGUCUGAGGUACACAUCCGGCUGACCCGGCAGUAACAAUCGCAGAGGUGCUCCCUUUACCUCCUAGCCGAACAAUCGGGAAUGUAGGGGUAAGCACAGGAGCCAGGCAACCCAGCUUGGCCAAAACUUAAGUCAUAUCGAUGCAUAUAAUGGUGAAUAAAAGGUACAUGCGGAAGUAUGACACAUGUGUUGGGCAUGAAGCCCGUAUAAAUAUGCUUCUGUUAAAGAAGCCCCCAGGUAUAAUGAGUGCUAGGAGCACAUCAAGUGUGUGCGAAUAAUGCGCAAAUCAGCCUAUCAAAGGCUUUUACUAAAAAAAAGUGGGAAGAAGGAAGGGGACAAGAGACAGUGAAAAUGUAAAAGGUGGACGGAGGAGGGAGAUGAACUCUGAGUCCGGCGCUAGGCGUAGAAUCUUCGGAGACGGGCUGCGUUCCAUGGGUUUGGCUCGAGUCGGUUGUCAGAUGCGUUACGUAGACGGUAUGCUCCGCCGGUCAGGACUUGGUCGAUGAUGAAGGGACCUUCCCAUUUGGGCUUAAAUUUGUCCUUUUUCUUGUCCGGCAGGCGUAGAACAAGUUCGCCAACAUUGUAAGUUUUGGCCCGUACUUCUCUGCUUUGAUAUCUUCGAGCCUGCUGCUGAUAAAAUGCGGAACGAGCUUGUGCCACGUCCCGCUCGUCCUCUAAGGCGUCCAAACUGUCCUGCCGAUCCAACUCGGCUUCUCUUUCUUCGUACAUGUGCACGCGAGGUGAGUCAUGAAUUAUAUCGCAGGGCAGAACUGCCUUUGCGCCGUACACCAUAAAAAAUGGUGUGAAUCCGGUAGUGCGGUUUGGCGUGGUCCGCAGCCCCCAGAGUACAGAGUCGAGCUCCUCUACCCAGUGCGUGUUAGAUUCCUUGAGGGACCGCACUAGUCUGGGUUUGAUGCCGCUCAUGAUUAGACCGUUUGCUCGUUCGACUUGACCAUUAGUUUGGGGGUAAUAGACUGAAGCGUAGUCGAGCUUGAUGCCCAUGUUUUUGCACCAGAGUUUAACCUCGUCGGCCGUGAAAUUCGUGCCGUUAUCAGUGAUGAUGCUGUGGGGGACACAAUAACGGUGUACUACCCCGGAUAUGAAGUCUAUCACGGGUCCGGAUUCGGUUGUUUUAACUGGCUUGGCCUCUAUCCAUUUGGUGAAUUUGUCCACCAUGACCAAUAGGUAUUUUUGCUUGUGGGUUCCCCCUUUAAGGGGUCCAACCAUAUCAAGCCCCCAGACCUCGAACGGCCAGGUGAUGGGUAUAGUUUUGAGGGCGGUGGGUGGCAUGUGGCUUUGAUUAGCAAAGAGCUGGCAACCGACGCAUCGUUGGACUAAGUCCUGAGCAUCUACCUGGGCAGUCAGCCAAUAAAAUCCUGUACGGAAGGCCUUGCCUACAAGGGCCCGGGCUGCGGCGUGGUGCCCAUCGAGUCUGGUGUGAAUUUCAGCCAGGGGAUUUCGCCCUUCCUCUUCAGAGAUACACCUUUGAAGGACUCUGGUUGUGCUUUUCUUAUAAAGUUCUCCCUCAUGGACCUUGUAGGCUUUAGAUCGCCGAACUAUGCAGCGGGCCUCAUUUUGGUCUUCGGGGAGUUCCUGCCUAGUUAAGUAGGCUAGGAAUGGUUCCGUCCACGGGGCGAUUACUGCCAUUAUUUCGUGGGCUGAGGGUGUUAUUUCAUUGGCUGAGCCAUCGACUGUGUCAGAAUGUUCCGUGUUGGGUGGUGCGGCUGGUUCCGGGUUGCUAUUUCGGGACUCCUCUUCCCAUAGUACGGAUGGCUUAAAGAGCCGCUCCAGGAAGAUGUUUGGAGGGACGGCGUCGCAUUUUGCGCCGAUGCGCGCCAACACAUCGGCUGCCUGGUUGUUGUCCCGGGCUACAUGGUGGAAUUCGAGUCCUUCGAACCGAGCUGACAUUUUUAAGACGGUGUUACGGUAGGCAGCCAUUUUCGGAUCCUUGGCGUCAAAGUCUCCAUUUACUUGGGAUAUUGUGAGGUUUGAAUCCCCGUGGACCUCUAGGCGUUGAAUGCCCAUGGAGAUGGCCAUCCGGAGACCAUGUAGAAGGGCCUCGUAUUCGGCUGCAUUGUUGGAGUCCGUGUACAUUAUUUGAAGUAUGCAUUGGACUGUAUCUCCAGUUGGGGACGUCAAGACGACGCCAGCCCCCAAGCCGGCCAACAUUUUAGAGCCGUCGAAGUGCAUAAUCCAAUUGGAGUAUGCGCCGUACUCUUUAGGGAGUUCGGCUUCAGUCCAUUCCGCGACGAAGUCAGCCAAAACUUGCGACUUUAUAGCUCGCCGUGGUUUGUAGGUUAUAUCGAAUGGUGUAAGCUCAAUGGCCCAUUUUGCAAUCCUGCCCAUCGCGUCGCGAUUGUUUAUGAUGUCGUUGAGAGGUACUUUGGAGGCCACUAUUAUCGAACACUCUUGAAAGUAGUGUCGCAGCUUCCGGGAUGCCAUGAACACCGCGUACGCUAUCUUUUGAUAAUGUGGGUACCGGGACUUGCAUGGAGUUAGGACAGUGGAUACGUAGUACACUGGUUUUUGAAGAGGGAAUUUGUGCCUUUCUGUUUCUCAUUCGACGACGAGCACCACACUUACAACUUGAUGUGUUGCCGUGAUAUAUAACAACAUUGGUUCGCCCAAGUUGGGCGUGGCCAGGACCGGAUUUGUUGCCAGUAUGGCCUUUAUUUCUUCGAGUUCGGCUGUGGCAGCGUCUGUCCAUUCGAAGUGUUCGGUGCGCCUGAGGAGGCGAUAGAGGGGCAAUGCUUUUUCUCCCAAACGGGAGAUAAAGCGGCUUAGGGCCACCACGCAUCCAGUCAAAUUUUGUAUUUGUUUGAGGUCUUUUGGGAUGUCCAAUUGUGACAGAGCUCGGAUCUUGGCUGGGUUUGCUUCAAUUCCUCUACCGGAUACAAUGAAGCCCAAGAGCUUUCCGACUGGUACGCCAAAAACGCAUUUUUCCGGGUUAAGCUUAAUGUCAUAUGCUCGGAGGUUGUCGAAUGUGAGCCUCAAAUCAUCUAUUAGAGUUUCGACGUGUUUGGUCUUGACAACCACAUCAUCUACGUAUGCCUCCACUGUUUUGCCGAUCAUGGUAGCCAGACAUGUCUGAAUCAUGCGCUGAUAUGUUGCGCCGGCGUUUUUAAGUCCGAAGGGCAUUGUAUUGAAGCAGAAUGGUCCGUAUGGAGUAAUGAAUGCCGUUGCGGCCUGGUCUAUUUCCGCCAUCUUGAUUUAAUGGUAUCCGGAGUAUGCGUCGAGGAAACACAAUGAAUCAUGCCCCGCGGUAGCAUCGAUGAUUUGGUCGAUGCGGGGGAGGGGGAAAGGAUCCUUUGGACAGGCCUUAUUAAGGUCUUUAAAAUCCACGCAAAGGCGCCAGGAUUUGUCCUUUUUUGGUACCAUUACCAGGUUUGCUAGCCAGUCCGGAUGUUUUAUAUCUCUGAUGAAUCCGGCUUCCAAUAGUUUGGCUAGAUCCUCUCCCAUUGCUUGUCUUUUGGGUUCGGAAAAUUGUCGAAGAGCCUGUUUGACUGGCUUGAAUCCUUUUAGGAUAUUUAGGCUGUGCUCUGCCAGCCUGCGUGGGAUUCCUGGCAUAUCUGAAGGGUGCCAGGCAAAAAUGUCCCAAUUUUCCUGAAGGAAUUCUCGUAGUGUGGCUUCUACAUCAGGGUUUAAUUGUGCCCCGAUGGAGGCCGUCUUUGUGGGGUCCGUAGGAUGGACCUGGAAUUUGACUAUUUCGUCCGCUGGUUUGAAAGAUGUGGACUCAGAUCUCUUGUCGAGUAUCACAUCGUCCCUAUUCACCAUGGAGCGUAGUGCCGUGAGUUCUUCUGCCGCUAGUGCUUCGGAUAGUGCCUCUAGGGCUAGUGCGGCUGUUUUGUUUUUGGCGUGGAGUGCUAUGUCCGGAUCACUGAUCAGAGUGAUGAUUCCAUUGGGCCCGGGCAUUUUGAGCUUCAUGUACCCGUAAUGGGGUACGGCUUGGAAAAUUGUGAAUGUCUCUCGCCCUAAUAGAGCGUGAUAUCUGCUGCUGAACGGGGCCACUUGGAACAUGACUUCCUCGGACCUGUAGUUGUCCGGCGAGCCGAACACCACAUCUAGUGUGAUUUUUCCUGUGCAGCGUACUUCCCGACUAGGGAUUAUUCCUCUAAAGGUUGUGCUGCUUCGCUCAAUGCGGCUCCAGUCUAUUUCCAUUUUUUGGGGAGUUUCCUCGUAGAUGAGGUUUAAUCCGCUGCCGCCAUCCAUGAGUACCUUGAUAAGGCGAAAACCGUCCACUAUGGGACUGAGGACCAAUGCGGCUGGUGCUCAGGCUGUUCGGAAUUUAGGUUCGUCACUGGCAUUGAAGGUGAUAGCCGUGUCGCUCCAUGGAUUUGUUGUUGCUACUUGGUAGACUUCGGUGAGGCUGCGGAUAGUUCGUUUCCGCAUAUUAUUUGAUGUGAAAGUCUCGAAGACUGUUAAUACCGUACUGGUACUGUUGGGCUGGUUCUCCGGGGCUAGAAGACCUUCGCCACUUUUGGCCACCUGCCGUAGUAUCCAACAUGCUCGAAGGCUAUGUGUUGGAGUGGCGCCCUCUGUAUUAUGGAUUUUGCAGGGUCCGCUGAGCCAUCCCUCCAGUACUGUUCCGUACCCUUUGGGGGGUUUUUGCUUUUUGGUUUUUGACCCAGGUGCUUGAGCAUGGUGCACCCUUUUAUUCCGGACUAGGGUUGUGUUCAGGGCUGGAUUGUCCCAAAAUCUAGUUUCGGUUUUCCAGGCAUUCUCCAUCGCACAGGAUUUUCAUACUAUGGUUGCCAGGUCGGCGAAGCGCGUAACUUCGCGAUGACUUAUGGCAUUCAUGAUUCCCUUGUCCGUGCAAUUGUUGCAGAAAAUAGAGAUUGCGCUUUCCUCACGGCAGUCCUUUAUCCUGUCCAUAACCAGGAGGAAUCUGGCCCAGUAAUGAUGUACUGUUUCAUCGGGCUCUUGCCGUAUUUGAGAUAGAUCGCUUGUGUUUGGGUGGGUGGGUGGAAUUAAAUUCGGAACCCCGCCCAAUCUGAGGCUCAAAGGCUGAGGAGUUUCCGGAUUUGGAAGCUUGGAUUGCUGGACGUCGUCCAACGAAUCUAGUCUGCUGCCUGACUUUAGGUUUAGUACUCGAUUGACGUCCGUCCCUCCGCGGGAAUCCGGCAUGGAGGGAUCGGGAAUCCGAACAUAACUGGUUUUUAACAUAGAAGAGGAGUCGCCGCGUUGUUCUUCUACCACAGCAACAUGGUGGGUAGCCUGGGGAGAAUUAAUUUCUCUUAGAUCGGUUUUAAGCCCAAUCUGAUCGUAGUCUGUAGUGACCCCCAGGGCGGCGAUGCGAUCCAAGAGCUCGUUUACGGAAGAGAGCUCCAUCGGCGAAUUCUGAGUUGAUGCGAAGAUCGCUUUUGAUGACCCGAGAGGUCAUCGUCGAAGCGGUGGCCGAACAGGCGGUCAUAAGAAAACCACCUAGCCGUAUAGCUUGACCGGCGGCCAAAGCUCCUUUGGCAAUGGUACCGUCUUUAAAGACGGGAAGAGGCAUCCUUCCUGAUUGCGACGGCACAGAGGAACUCUCAAUGAAAGCACCAAUGUCGGUGUCAAAACCGGCGGAUCUCGGGUAGGGGGUCCCGAACUGUGCGUCUAGGCGGAUGGUAACAGGAGACAAGGGAUACGAUGUUUUACACAGGUUCGGGCCCUCUUGAUGGAGGUAAAACCCUACGUCCUGCUUGAUUGAUAUUGAUGAUGUGGGUAUUACAAGAGUAGAUCUACCACGAGAUCAAGGAGGCUAAACCCUAAAAGCUAGCCUAUGGUAUGAUUGUUGUUAUUCUACGGACUAAAACCAUCCGGUUUAUAUAGACACCGGAGAGGGCUAGGGUUACAUAGAGUCGGUUACAUUGGUAGGAGAUCUACAUAUCCGUAUCGCCAAGCUUGCCUUCCACGCCGAGGAAAGUCCCAUCCGGACACGGGAUGAAGUCUUCAAUCUUGUAUCUUCAUAGUCUUGGAGUCCGGCCGAUGAUGAUAGUUCGGCUAUCCGGACACCCCCUAGUCCAGGACUCCCUCAAUGCCCUUUGAUUUUGAGACUAGUGUUAAAGAAUUUAUGAUUUCUCAAAAGAAUUUCAAUGCUUUGCUUGAAGAGAAAUUGCCUAAGAUUGAUGAGUUGGCUAGGAACAUGGAUAGAAUUGAUUCUUUGAAACUUAGAUCUCUUCCACCUAAGCAUGAUAUCAAUGAGUCUCUCAAAGCUAUGAGAAUUUCCAUUCAUUAGUGCAAAGAAAGAACCACUAGGAUGCGUGCUAAAAAGGAUUGCUUUAUGAAAGCGUGUUCUUCUAGUUUUCAUGAUAAUAAGGAUGAAGAUCUAAAAGUGAUUGAUGUAUCUCCUAUUCAAUCUUUAAUUUGCAAUAUGAAUCUUGAUAAUGAUAGGACUGGAGAUGAGUCAACUUUCAAUAAAAGGCAUCCCAAUGAUUCAGAGUUUUUAGACCUUGAUGCAAAAAUGGUAAAAGUGGGAUUGAAGAGGUCAAAACUUUACAUAGCAAUGAACCCACUAUUUUGGAUUUCAAGGAAUUUAAUUAUGAUAAUUAAUAGAUUGUAUUUCCUUGUUGCAAUCCGCGUUAAAUUCUCCUCAUGCUUAUAGUCAAAAUAAAGCUUUUACUAAACAUAUUGUUGAUGCUUUAAGGCAAUCUUAUGAAGAAAAGCUUGAAUUAGAAGUUUCUAUCCCUACAAAACUUUAUGAUGAGUGGGAACCCACUAUUAAAAUUAAGAUUAAAGAUCAUGAAUGCUAUGCUUUGUGUGAUUUGGGUGCUAGUGUUUCCACGAUUCCAAAAACUUUGUGUGAUGUGUGAGGUUUCCGUGAAUUUGAUGAUUGUUCUUUAAACUUGCAUCUUGCGGAUUGCACCAUUAAGAAACCUAUGGGAAGGAUUAAUGAUGUUCUUAUUGUUGCAAAAUAGGAAUUAUGUGCCUGUAGGAAUUCCACCAUUAAGAAACCUAUGGGAAGGAUUAAUGGUGUUGAUGUAGAACCCCUCCAUGAUCGAUUCCCCCUGCGGCAGAUCGCCGGAAAAGGCCCCAAGAUGGGAUCUCACGGGUACAGAAGGUUGUGGCGGUGGAAAAGUGGUUUCGUGGCUCCCCUGAUGGUUUUAGGGUAUGAGAGUAUAUAUAGGUGAAAGAAAUAGGUCGGUGGAGCUCUGUGGGGCCCACGAGGAUGGGGACGCGCCUACCCCCCUGGGCGUGCCCUCCUACCUUGUGGCCACCUCGUGGAGUUCCAGACUUCAACUCCAAGUCUUCUGGAUUGUGUUUGUUCCAAGAAAGAUCCUCGCAAAGGUUUCAUUCCGUUUGAUAUUCCUUUUCUGCAAAACACUGAAAUAGGCAAAAAAAACAGAAACUGGCACUAGGCCUUCGGUUAAUAGGUUAGUCCCCAAAAAAAUAUAAAAGAGCAUAUUAAAGCCCAUUAAACAUCCAAAACAGAUAAUAUAAUAGCAUGGAACAAUCAAAAAUUAUAGAUACGUAGGAGAUGUAUCACUUUGCCUAAGCUCUACAACGAUAUGACCAAGGUGGAAAUCUGUGGAGGGGGGCACCGCACACGGCUAAGACAACUCUCAACUUGUGUGUUCUAGGGUGCCCCCUGCCCCGUAUAUAAAGGAGCAAGGGGGAGGCUGGCUGGCCCUCAUGGGGCGUGCCUCGAGUAGGAUUCCUACUAGGAAUCCUAUUCCUAGUAGGUUUCCAACAAGGGAAGAGAGAGGUGUCGGAGUAAUUAGCCACGGGUAGCCUCAUCGGCCCCCCAUGGCGCUUCAAGACAUCGGGGCCGGCUGGUCCCUCAAGAUUCAAAGAGCCAAGCGCCGCCUCCUCGCGGCCGGCUGGUCCAAGCGGCCGGCUGCCAGGAGACGGCAAAGCCCGGCAGGCAGUCACGAGGUGGGCCGGCUUCUAGCAGGCGGCCUCCAGAGAGGCCGGUCCCUAGAAGGCGGCCCUAAGCGUCCUCAAAGUCUACGUCCACAUCAGUGCGAUGAGAAAGGGCAUGGCUACAGCGCGCCUAGCCACCCCCAAAUCUAGCGCCAAGCAUGGCCACAGUGCAUCGUACCAGACGGAGAUCUCCCGUCCGGCGCGACACUGUUGCCACGCUACCCAUGACGUCACCCUUGUCAGUGAGAGCCAUGCUCCCACGACGAGCUGUUUGUACGGACCGCAGGCGGUGGGCCCUACCUGUCCACAAGGAGCCAGAAGGCGGCGAGCCCAGACCAGACGGCUCGUGGGUAGGCCAGCUAAUGACCGGGCGGUCCUCCCCCUCCUGGGGGUUUGGGCGCCAUUAACCAGAAGAUACAGGGAGUGGCUACAGUGAACGCCCGCCAGGAGGCGGUACUGUAGCCACGCCUACCCUGACAAAGCAUGCAUCAUUAGCCACACGGCUACAAUGCCGAGCAGCCGACAAGACCCGCAAGUGGUGGGCGCGGCUUGUCGGCCAAGUACGAGACAGCCGGCGGGACCCACCAGAUGGCGGGCCCCAGCAGCCAGCGAAGAAGCCGGCGACCAGAGACACUGACAGCCAGGUCUUACACCCGGCUAGAUUACCAUUGUACCCCUGAGGGGUAGGACUAUAUAAACCCCCCAGUCCCAUGCAAAGGGUUCCAGUUCCGGUUGAGCCUCAUCCAGACCUUAGUUCAUCCACACACACAUAUAGAGAGAGGGAGCUAGGGCUAGCCUUGUUCUUCUUCCUCCUCUGGAGAAACAGCUCAAGGAGCAAGCUUGUAGCCACCAUUGUUGCUUGAGUGAUCAUACGGAGACCCCGCAGAGCAGGACUAGGGGUGUUAUCUCCGAGGAGAGCCCCGAACCUGGGUAAGAUUCGCCGGCGUGCAUGUCUUUGCCUUAUCCCGUUUCCUGGCACCAGCGAUGUCUUACUAGCCCCCUCCAUGAUAAGCCAUCCUUUAUCAUAUGUCGCACGACACCCCCGACAUUUUCCACCCACCGUGGGGCUAGGUGCACCGUCAUCCGGGAUCUGUUCUGGACGGGAACCCUCUUCCUCCCCAGCGAGCGCAGCCAGCCCGGCACGCCCGAUGGCGUGAGCACAGAUGCGUUGCGUGGUGCGGACCUUGCCUGUGCAACGGCUGGCCUCGCUGACCUUGUUGGCGAGAUCCGCCUCUUCGACAAGCCCGCGUCUGGUUAUAGUAAGGGGCGAACCAAGUGCUUGCGCGAAGAAGCGAAUCAAUCAGAAUGGAGACAAGGAAAGGAAUCGAGGCCCGGCCCGGUAGCGAUGCCUCUCACGCGGAUGGGAGUUACUUUUCUUUAUCACCGUAAGCAUUAUGAAAUGGACCCGCAUUCCCCUUUGCUUUUCUUUUGCAACUAAGCUUAAAAGAAAUAUAGUAGUCUUGCAAGCCAUUAGAAAACUCAUUAAGUGCUCUGUUGAGUGAAUGCCUGUUGAGAAGCUUAGGUCAUACAUUUCCACCUAAUUAGAAUACAACCAUGAAGGUGGGGUUUGAAUGCCAUACAACUAUAUACUCUGGUAAGUAGGAUUGGAAUGUAGCCGAAAGUUGCCUCAUCGACCUCCUUCGCAAGCUCGACAUCGCCAACGAGCCGGCCUCCGACCUGGAGUCGAUCGGCUCCACCGACCCGAUGCUCGUCGACUCCGACACCGCGUCCCUCGACACCUUCCCCGCCAAUGUGGUGAUCGUCAAUGACCCGCUCCGUCACGCUGACAGCGGCGGCAACACCAUCACGGAGGUGCUCGUCAUCAGCCACGGCGGAGCCUCUGGUGGGGAUGCCCAAGACCCCCUCCAGGCGGCAGUGCGAGACCUCUCUGCACCUAUUCCCGAAGACGCCGACGCCGAGACGCUGGAAGCCCGCUGCGUCACGCUCAUCGAAAGCGCCAAGAAGUUGGCCACCAUGAGACGCCUUUCAGAAGCCUACCAGCUCGAGAUCGACCAUGCUGUUGGUGGCACGCCGGCUGUCGGCGGGCCUAGCUGCAUUGGCCUGGUCCGGCAGCGUGGCACUGCCAUUGCUAGCAUGUUUGGGGUGGACCGCCCUGUCUAUGCCACGCCCGUGGAGAACCUACGAGCUGCCCAGGCAGACACUACAAAAAAAGACACAUCCGUGACAUUUUGGGCCGAACAAUUUUUUUUCUGUCAUACUUAUGACAAUUCUAUGACGGUAAUUAUGACCAAACCCGGUAUCAUCAUAGAUGUGAUGGGCUCCUACUUCUAUGACAAAAAAUCAUGACAGAAAAUGGGCUUUUCGUCCAGGGCGGGCCGAAGAUGCAGCUGCAUGACAUUCUUUGGGCCAUCCAUGACGGAAAAAACCAUGGUAGAAGCGAGGGCGAGGAAAAUUUCGGGGAGUUCCCGAUUACGGUGGGUGGUCGGGGCCGAGCGAUGUGCGUUUCUCUCAUACACGUACGCGUGUGUGUGCGAGGCGUUGGGCUCUAACUGAACCCGAGCGAGGCGUCGCCUAACUGAACCCGAGCGAUUGCACUGCAGGCUACGCGUUACUGAACCCGAGCGAUCAAGCGAUUUCUUCGCUACUGCUGCUAACUGAAGCCAAUCAAUGCUGUGUAACGCCCCGGAUACAACUUUCCAUAUUCCUAACUCCAACUCUUGUCAUUUCCGGCUAUGUGAUAUGUUAUUUCCUCCGUGGUUGGGUUUUUGUCUGUUGUUUUGCAUUUUGUUCUUGUCAUGCAUCUCGUCUCAUGUCAUCAUUCGCAUUGCAUCGGCAUCGUUUUCAUAAAACUUGCAUUCGCUCGUAGUUGCCGCUUCUUCCUUUUCCCUGUUGACCCCUCUCAGAUCAACCGGACCGCUCUCUUCAAGAUUUCCCUUCCUUUGUUAUCGUAUCAAUUCACUCAUUCAUUCGUUGUUUCCAAAUUCCACCGGUGGUUCCAUCAAUACCUUCUCGAGUUUGCGCUAUAUCUCUUUUAUCCUUUCAACGAGAAUAAGUAGUAUGCAUAUCCGUUGCUUGCCAUCAAUUUAAAUUGGUGAAGGAUACGCAUAAUGUAAUUCUUAUUAUUGUUUCAUCCAAGUGAUCUAGUUUCUUCUUUCCAGAGUUAUUCAUCAUGUCACAUUUCUCGGUUCGAGAUGCUUCAUCUUUUCUUUUCCGGAGUUCCAAGUUUUUCGCAUUAUCUCAUCGCGAAGAUCCAUCUAAAUCAUUUCAAGGCUUGAAUCCUAUUCUUUUCAUCCUUUUGUUUACUGGAGGCUCUACAUGAUGGUUCGUCAAGGAUUCUUUUCAUUCUUCAAUUGUUCUUCAAGAUUUCUCUUGAAGUUAAGAUCAGCCAAGCUAUACUCUAAAAAAUAAACAUGGUGCUCAACACAUGUUUUGUUUUGAGGAGCUCAAGUUUUCUUCAUCUUGCAUUCCAAAGUGCAAUUCCUUCUAUCUUGUCUUUGACAUGGUGCUAUGUCAUCCUUGACAAUUUCUCUUCAUGUUUCAUGAUUCACAUGUUGUCAAGAAUGAGAUAUUUUAAAUCCAUCAAUCCCUUUGUUGGAGUUAUCUUGGGUCAUAUUUCACCUAAAGCCUUCCCUAAGGAAUGUUGCUAUUUGUGGUGCUUAUCAAUGAUCCAAUUUUCCUCCUUCUCUUCUCGGUGAAGAAGUUUUUCAUCUCUUCGGUGCUCUCAACCAAUCAAUGGUUUCCAUUAGUGGCCGGUUGUCAUCUCACAGUCUUGAGAUGUUUUCCAUAAGCCCACUACAAGCUUAUUCGUUUCGUUGUUGGUUUUCCAACAAUUCCGUUCUAACCUUCUUGGAAGGGUGCUUUCCAAGAUUAUUUGUGGCAGAAGUUGGCAUUUUUCUUCUCCAUUCUUUUAUUCCAAUGAUCUAUCUUCUAUUCUUUGUUCCGGAGGUAGUGUGUUGUUGAUUUCAUCAAGUAUCAUCCCAUCUUCUCACGGUCAUGUUCUAUUCCUUCCAUGUUCAACCGGAGUGCUGCCCGAAUUCUUCCUCUCUCAUCUUGUUUUAACCGGAGUGGUUUCGAAUUCUAUCUUGUCCAUUAAACUCUUGAUUCAUGUCUUUGCAACCUUCAAGUUCUCGUAAUGUUCCUUGUUCCUCUUUUCCAACGGAUUGUUUGCAAUCUCAUUCAUCUCUGUUGUACUCUUUCUUUUUAAUUGCUCAACCUCUCAAGGUUUGUCGUUUCACUCGUUCGUCAAAGAAGCAACUUAGUUUUACCUCUUCUCUUCCUCUUCCGUUUCUCUCCGGUGCCAUCCUAGAUCUCGGGACGAGAUCCUCUCGUAGUGGUGGAGUGUUGUAACGGCCCGGAUACAACUUUCCAUAUUCGUAACUCCAACUCUUGUCAUUUCCGGCUAUGUGAUAUGUUAUUUCCUCCAUGGUUGGGUUUUUGUCGGUUGUUUUGCAUUUUGUUCUUGUCAUGCAUCUCGUCUCAUGUCAUCAUUCGCAUUGCAUCGGCAUCGUUUUCAUAAAACUUGCAUUCGCUUGUAGUUCCCGCUUCUUCCUUUUCCCUGUUGACCCCUCUCAGAUCAACCGGACCACUCUCUUCUCUCUCUUUUCUGAGCCCAUCAAAACCCUUUGUCUCCAUGGUGUUUCGUCAAACCCCUCUUGCACACGAUCGCCUUGCAUCUCUAGACAACCAUGACACUUCUUGCCGUGUCCGAAAUUUACCCGGACCCGACCCGGGCUGUCAUGAUCGAUGAGUCCGGAUCAUCCCCAAACAUCUAUAAAUCAUCUCCGUUUUCUUAUUUGGACUCCCUAGCCUAUUUAUUCCGGGCCGUCCGAUUACGAUCGGAGGGACCAAAUAGUCUCUGACCAAAUCCACCUGCUAUUUAUACACGGGAUCCAACCCUAGAAAUUAGGCAGCUUCGCCGCCACACCUCUUGUCUCCCCUUCCUCGGGAUCUCCUCCCGAUCCAAUCUCCCCGACCACCUUCCUUGUUUUCUGUUGACGCCCAAUCCGAGCCUCUGCCAUCCAAUGCCCGAAGGAGCAAGGCCCCUCGUGCCCGAUCUCCCUCACCUCCUCCGUCCCGCGAGCAGCAGCAACAGGACCAUGGCCGUCACCCCGCUUCUUCGAGACCAGCCACCGCUGAUCUGCAUCCAUGCCGCCUCCCGCCGUCGGCCGCAAGCCAGGAGCCCGAGCUCCUCCUUCCCGAGCUACAGGACCCCGCAGCCGUUCUACCUCGUCGGACCCCUCGCGCAGACCAGCGCCACCAGGCCGUGCCCUGCUUCCUUCCUCCCCGUGCCGCUCUCUCGAAAUCUCUCAUCUCUCUCGCCUCACUCUCUCUGUUCCUCUUCUUCAGGUACCUCAUCCACCAGGCCAGAAGCCUGAGCUCCUUCUCGCACGUUCGUCCCCUGCCUCGAUCGGGACCUUGUCCCAAGCCAUCGUCACCGUGCUUCUCGCGUCGCCCGACCUGGAGGAGUCGCCGCGUUGACCACGGUCCCGCGGUGACUGUCCUCUGCGUCCCGCGCCGCCACUCCUGCUUCAUUCCGGCGAGGCUCCGCCCGGAUCCGUUCGCCGGCCGCAGCCAUCGGUACCUGCAUCCCCUGCUUUGUGAACGAGGAGACCAGCGCUGCGCCUUUGUUGACCUAUUCCACUGCCAGCAUGGACGAGACCACGUCGCUCGCGUGGGCCUCGAUCCCAAGCCGGCCUUGCCCAGCGGCCUCGCUCGGCUUGCCUCCACCGAACCGGGCCUUGGCCCAGGGUGAGCAGCCCCGCCCCCUCUCCUGUGCACUUUCGGGCCAGCCAGAUUCGGCCCAGCUCCUGUUUUUUUUCCUUCUGCGAAUUUAGCAUUUAUCCAGUGAUUUAACAGAUUUGCAGAAACCCCCUUGAACUUCAUGCAUAUAAUAACUCAUGAUCUGUGCAUCAUAUGUAAAAACUUUAUAUAUGUAAAGUGCUUAGAAUUUCAUGUAGUUUCAUAAUAUGCUGUUUUCAUCCAUGAUAAAAAUGCUUAACCCUGCUGUUUGCAUUAAUUUGCAUAAAUAACAUGCUAAAAUGAUUUAUUUCAUAACUAAAUAACCGUAGCUCCAAUUUUAAUAAACUUUAUAUGUAAAUGGGGUGGGAAAAUGCCUAGUUUAACAUGGUGCACUUUAUUUUCCUGUUUAAAAACAAUAAAAUAUGGUUUAGGGCAGAACAGUACCAAAUUCAUAAUUUGCAUAUGGGGAUUCUCCGGAAUUGUUGUUUGUUGUUUCCUGCCUCAUUUAAACUUGCCUAGAUAGGUAGUUUAAUUAUGCUUCACCUCUUGCCAUGUUUAACAACAUUUAAUAUUGCUUGGUAGCUUAAACGAGAUUAAACUAAAUAUGUCAAUGUGGUGUUUUGUCAAUAUGCAACUCGUUGCAUAUUGAGCUCCACUUAGCUUGUAGUAUUGUUUGUUGCACUUUGCCAUGCCAUGCCUCAUUAAACCGGACAUGCAUCAUGCUUGAUUGUGCAUCAUGCCAUGUCUUGUGAUGGUUGUUUACCAUAUUGUUUGCUUCUUUCCGGGUUGCUUCUCUCGUUAGCUUCAGUUUCGUUCGGGAGUUGUGAGGAUUCGUUCGACUAUGUUGGUUCGUCUACUUCAUCGACUCGUUCUUCUUCCUAGCAGGAUUUCAGGCAAGAUGACCGCUACCCUGGAUCUCACUACUAUCAUUGCUAUGCUAUUUGUUUCGUUCUAUCGCUUUGCCGCGCUACCUAUCUCUUGUUGAUCAAGCCUCCCAAUUUGCCAUGUCAGCCUCUAACCUUUUUCACCCUUCCUAGCAAACCGUUGCUUGGCUAUGUUACCGCUUUUGCUCAGCCCCUCUUAUAGCGUUAUUAGUUGCAGGUGAAGUUGAAGAUUGCUCCAUGGUGGACAGGAUUAUGUUGGGAUAUCACAAUAUCUCUUAUUUAAUUAAUGCAUCUAUAUACUUGGUAAAGGGUGGAAGGCUCGGCCUUAUGCCUGGUGUUUUGUUCCACUCUUGCCGCCCUAGUUUCCGUCAUAUCGGUAUUAUGUUCCUGGAUUUUGCGUUCCUUACGCGGUUGGGUGAUUUAUGGGACCCCCUUGACAGUUCGCUUUGAAUAAAACUCCUCCAGCAAGGCCCAACCUUGGUUUUACCAUUUGCUUCACCACCACCUAUACCUUUCCCUUGGGUCGGCCAACCCGAGGGUCAUCUUUAUUUUAGCCCCCCCCCCGGGCCAGUGCUUGUCUAAGUGUUGGUCCGAACCGAGCAACCUGCAGGGCCACCUCGGGGCAACUUGAGGGUUGGUUUUACUCGUAGCUUGACUUAUCCGGUGUUGCCCUGAGAACGAGAUAUGUGCAGCUCCUAUCGGGAUUGUCGGCGCAUCGGGUGGCUUUGCUGGUCUUGUUUUACCAUUGUCAAAAUGUCUUGUAAACUAGGAUUCCGAGACUGAUCGGGUCUUCCCGGGAGAAGGAAUAUCCUUCGUUGACCGUGAGAGCUUAUAAUGGGCUAAGUUGGGACACCCCUGCAGGGUAUAAACUUUCGAGAGCCGUGCCCACGGUUAUGUGGCAGAUGGGAAUUUGUUAAUGUUCGGUUGUAGAUAACUUGACACCAGAUACGAAUUAAAAUGCAUCAACCGCGUGUGUAGCCGUGAUGGUCUCUUCUCGGCGGAGUCCAGGAAGUGAACACGGUUUUGGGUUAUGUUUGACGUAAGUAUGAGUUCAGGAUCACUUCUUGAUCAUUGCUAGCUUCACGACCGUUCCGUUGCUUCUCUUCUCGCUCUUGUUUGCGUAUGUUAGCCACCAUAUAUGCUUAGUCGCUGCUGCAACCUCACCACUUUACCCCUUCCUUUCCCAUUAAGCUUUGCUAGUCUUGAUACCCAUGGUAAUGGGAUUGCUGAGUCCUCGUGGUCACAGAUUACUACAACAACAGUUGCAGGUACAGGUUAUGCGAUGAUCAUGACGCGAGAGUGAUGUUUGCUUGUUUUGGAGUUCUUAUUCCGCUUCUUCUUCGAUCAGGGGAUAGGUUCCAGGUCGGCAGCCUGGGCUAGCAGGGUGGAUGUCAUUCGAGUUUCUAUUUGUGUUUCAUCCGUAGUCGGAUGAUGCUCUUAUGUAAGAUGAUGUUGUAUUCGUGUGGCAUUGUAUGCCUUAUGUAUGUAUCCCUAUCUAUUAUGUAAUGUUGAUGUAAUGAUAUCCACCUUGCAAAAGCGUCUUCAAGAUGCGCUUCUAUCCUUGGUGGGACCUUCGAGUUCCUUUAGGAUAGGGUCGCAUCUUGGGCNNNNNNNNNNNNNNNNNNNNNNNNNNNNNNNNNNNNNNNNNNNNNNNNNNNNNNNNNNNNNNNNNNNNNNNNNNNNNNNNNNNNNNNNNNNNNNNNNNNNNNNNNNNNNNNNNNNNNNNNNNNNNNNNNNNNNNNNNNNNNNNNNNNNNNNNNNNNNNNNNNNNNNNNNNNNNNNNNNNNNNNNNNNNNNNNNNNNNNNNNNNNNNNNNNNNNNNNNNNNNNNNNNNNNNNNNNNNNNNNNNNNNNNNNNNNNNNNNNNNNNNNNNNNNNNNNNNNNNNNNNNNNNNNNNNNNNNNNNNNNNNNNNNNNNNNNNNNNNNNNNNNNNNNNNNNNNNNNNNNNNNNNNNNNNNNNNNNNNNNNNNNNNNNNNNNNNNNNNNNNNNNNNNNNNNNNNNNNNNNNNNNNNNNNNNNNNNNNNNNNNNNNNNNNNNNNNNNNNNNNNNNNNNNNNNNNNNNNNNNNNNNNNNNNNNNNNNNNNNNNNNNNNNNNNNNNNNNNNNNNNNNNNNNNNNNNNNNNNNNNNNNNNNNNNNNNNNNNAGGGCUGGAUGAACAGGACCCCGUGGAGGGCUGUCUGAACAGGACGACCCCGUGGAGGGUUGGAUGAACAUUAGAUGGUGGAGGGGUGGAUGAACAGUAGCCCGUGGAGGGGUGGUUGAACAGGAGCCCCUGGAGAGGGGUGGUUGAACAGUAGCCGAUGGAGUAGCGCGCGGUGGAGGCUGGAUGAACAGGAGCCCGUGGAUGAACAGUCGCAGGUGAAGGCUGGAGGAGGUCAACGGUGGAUGAACAGUAGCCCGUGGAGGCUUGAGGAGGUCGAUGGUGGAGAUGAACACUAUCCCGUGGAGUCCCGUUUUGUGGUACACCACACCCCUCCCGAUGAACAGGACCCCCAUUUCGAUCGUGGUGCUCCAACACAAGUCCGUUUUGUCCGUUUUGCGGUACGCCACACCCCUCUCAAUCAACAGGACCCUGUUUCGACCGUAGGAGGUCCAACACAAGUCCGUUUCCUCUGUUUUGCGGUAUGCCAGACCCCUCCCGAUGAACAGGAUCCCAUUUCAAACGUGGCCGGUCGAACACAAGGUCAUUUCCUCCGUUCUGCAGUAUGCCAGGCCUCGUUUCCAUCGCAUGUUUCGUCCAAGCCCUCCCAAUGAACACGACGAUGCAUUCUGUUUGGACCUAGCCGGUUGGCUCCCCAUGAACACGACGACGAUGCUACUUCUCUGUUCCGACCCAUCCAUGUACACGAGCCCUGGCCGUACGUAUGCGCGAGUAGGCGUUCGAGACCCCACCCGUAUGUACGUACGUGGCCGUAUUUUCUUUCUUGCACCCUGGCCGUUGUACGUAUGUGUACAUGCUACGUGCGCGCCUCUACUACGACAUGUGCACGCCUCUACUACAACACAUGCGCGCCUCGACAUCGACCAGUAUAUGCGUACACGUUCGCGACCAAAAUGACAACGCUAUGUACGCUUCGACCAGGUGGGUCCCAACUGUCAGGCACUUCCUUGCGUGCGAAGAUGUAGAUGGUGGGUCCUAGCAGUCACGGGGGCGAAUCGUUUUUUUAUUUUUUGCCUGGACGCACUUCCUUGCGUGCGAAGAUGUAGCUGGUGGGUCCCAGCAGUCAGGGGGCGGAUUGUUUUUUUGUUGCCCGGGCGCACUUCCUUGCGUGCGAAGAUGUAGCUGGUGGGUCCCAGCAGUCAGGGGGCCAAUCAUUUUUUUUGUGAAAUACGGUGGCCCUACCGGUGGGUCCCCGCUGUCAGGUGGAGGAAUAAUUAUUUUGCGUGUAAUAAGGAGGCACUUCCUUGCGGCUGCCGUGGACCCAGCUAUCAGCCUCUCCACGUACAAUACUCUUCCGAUGGAAGUCGGUCGUUGACCACAUUGACCACGCCACGCCGAGAGCACCACGGCGGUGGACGAUGGUGAGGCCUAGGAAGGGGACGACACGGAGCCGGGGAAGACGUAGCAGUGGAUGCCCACGUGGAGAGGAGUACGAGGGUUCACUGGUUCGACUGUGGUGUGAGGCUGCCGUCGCCGCAGAAUAAUAGGGGGUGUGGGUGAGUAGAGGGAUGGCCUAGUCAGUGGUGGGAGUAGUAGGGGGGUGAGGCCUCCAUGGCAUCACAGCCGGCCACGGGAGGCAGGAGCAUGCGACACGACCGGCGCUGCUUUGGGCGGCUGGGGCAUGAAGACCAUAGGUUGAAGAAGCACUACGCCGUUGGAUGGACAUUGUACGGUCACUGGAGCUAGAAUCGUUCAUAUUGCCUAAGUUGACAAAGCCCUCUAUCCCCGUCAACUUAGUAGGCCCACAAGUCAGCCUCCCAUGAAGGUGAGUCCCAGCUAGCAGGGGGAAUAUUCAUUUUUUUGUGUGAAGGAGGCACUUCCGGUGGGUCCAAGAUGACAGCGGGGGGAACGUUUUUUCGCGAAAUACAGAGGCCCUUCCGGUGGGUCCCAGCUAUCUGGUGGAGGAAUCAUUAUUUUGCGCGUAAUGAGGAGGCAUUUCCCUGUGUGGGCCCCUAUUGUCGGCCUCUUUCGAUGGCUGUUGUUUGUUGACCAUGUUGACCUCGCCGCGCCGAGAGCACAAACGCGGUGGAUGAGGGUGAGGCCCAGGAAGAGAACCACCCGGAGCCGGCGAAGCUACCGCAGUGGAUGCCCACACUGAGGGGAGUACGGGCGCUGACUGGUCGACUGCGGGGUGAGGCUGACAUUGCCGGAAAAUAACAGGAUGUGUGGGUGGUUAGAGGGAUGGCCUGGCGGCAGCACAGCCAGCCACGAGAGGAGGGAGCAGGCAGUCCCGCCGGCGCUGGUUUGGGCGGCUGGAGCAGGAAGAUCAGAGAUUGAAGAAGCAUGGCGGCCAUUGGAUGGACAUCCAACGGUCACUUUUGUGUGUUAACUAAGUUGACAAAGCCUUUCGUAUGCGUCAAAAAAAAUUUAGGACAGUGUCAUCGUCAACCUAGUAGGCCCAGAAGUCAGCCUCCAAAUCUAUGGAAAACAGCAUACAGCCCUUUAGUUAUUAUUUUCAAUAAUUUACAGUCCAUUUGCUAAUUCUUAAGGACAUUUGAAGCCCAUAUUCUUUUUAUUAGCAUUACAAACCAUAUAUUCUGGGCACUGCUAAAAAAUUCAAUGAAAUUUUGCAUAUUUCGGUGGGGUCCGAACUCUUUUAAUCACGAAAUUUUGAGUCACGUUAAAAAUAAUUUUCAAAAAAUUAUAUCAAAAUAAAAUUCAAAAAACAAUUCUCCGCAAAAAAAUGAAUGAAAUUUAGAAUCUUAACUAGCAAGAUGCCCGUUCAUUGCACGGAACAUGAAGAUGCAUUUGUAUGAGUAGUUUAUCUUGUGGGAGAAAAGAUGAUAUUUUAAUGUAAUUGCCAGUUGGCUUUGGUUUUUAUAAGAGUGGAGAGUAGAGAAAUCCUAAAAAAAUGAUAUUUUAAUGCAAUUGCCGGUUGGCUUUGGUUUAAAAAUUUACAGCCCAUUUCUUACAACUUAUAGCCCAUUUUCUGGGGAAGCCCAUUUCUUACUACUUACAUCCCUCCUCGUCUUGAAAGAUUUGCAGCCCAGCAGGGCUGAGAAAAGCAACUAGGCCUCAGUUUUGGUAUUCUCCAAAAAAAGAACUAGGCUAGCCAAUUUCAGAAAGAAAAAAUAUAUCAAUUGGGCUCGUCAUGUGCUUAAUAAAAGCAUAAUCAUGGGCUAGACGGGCCACAGCCCCCGCACAGCGCGCAGUUGAGCUCCGUCUCUGAAACUAAAAACAACUGGGCGAGCUACUGGGUUCCUGGUGUUAUCCGCUUGUUGUGUAAUUUUCUCGUUUAUUGACUACAUUGACAAUGGCAUGGGACCUAGUUGUCAAACAAUUAGGAGGAAAUAUAUAUUUUUGGCUUGUAAUAACGAGGCACCUGCUUGCGAAAUGCAAUGACCCUGGUGGGUCCCUACUGUCAGCCUCUCCAUGUAUAGUCAUCUCCUGAUUCCUCUUGGUUGUUGACCAUGUUGACAACGCCAGACGGCGGCGGGCACAGCGAACGAACCAAGGCGGAGAACGGCGGCGAGGCCUCGGACGGGAAUGAACAGCAGUCAUGGAAGAUGUGGCAGUGUAGUGGCAGGUGGAGGGGAGUACGAGGUUAACAACAUGCAACUCAAGCAUACAAAUGGUACAAAAAGCCCAAGGAUUAACUGUUCAUCAAAUUUUUAGACAAAACCCAGAUUGAACAUGACAGUAACAUCUAACAGAACCACUCUUUUUUGCAGUCACAAACAAAUGGAUCGGUCUGAUCCAUAAAAUCAACAUCCUGUGCAAAAAACUUUAUUUCAGGAUGACUACAACUUGUUGUAAAUAGAAACCGAGCACGUUUAGAAGCCCAUUUGUCCACCUGAAACUUCUUUUUUCGCUGUUCAACAUGUCCGUCCAUGAGAAAUCUCUUGCGGUAAAAAUUAUGCCUCAUGGACAAUAGUAACCCCACAUUCAACACGAAGAAUGUGACAGAGCUUCUGUUUGCCUGGUUGGAUGCAUAUCGUUCCAUCAUUAUUGUCCUCAAACGAAUGUCAUGAGAACUGAGAAAAUCCUUGUGCUUAUUACGCCACUGAUUGGUUAUAUGUUUUUCUCCAUGUGAUUCUGCCUAAGUAGACAUGAAGAUUGAAAACAGUUAAGGUCUGAAAAAGAGUAUGUCAAAAGAACGACAACUGAAUAGUUAAUUCUAGUACAAUAUAUACGGGCUUUCAAUGUGCAUGAAAUCAUCACCUCUAUGUAUAAAUUCUCCAGAGAUCGAAAGCAUCGCAGCAAGCCAAUAAUUAUGUUCAGAUCAAAACUAUACAUUCUGAUAUAUAUGAUCUUGACAGAAUCCAGCAGCAUUGAUAGGCUAUCAAUGGAUGAAUUCUCCAUUGAGCAUAUAACAUAAUAUUAGUACCCAAAGUGUACUCCAAGAUGAUAUAAAACUUAUGCGCACAAAUGAAAAAUGCAGCAUAUGAUUACAAAUGUGUAGAUGAUAAUAUACGGUACCUGAAAAGUGAGGAUCCAAACACCAACUCCUUGUGAUUAUUAAACGGGUCACGAAUUACACCCAAGGUCUCCAGUUUGGGCGCAGAGACGACAGUUAUUUGUGAAGGUGUAUAACAAUUAUCAAGGAGCAACCUUUCAAGUGAAGGGGCAUCUUCGUUGAUGAGCUGCUGUCCUUGAAAACAAAUUCCAAUGCUUUUAAGGUGAGGCGACUUUAUUUGGAGACAACUGAUACGGAUUUCUAUUCCCAAAACAAGCAUCAAGCGCUCCAGGGUAGGGCAACUGGAUUGGAUGAUGCUGUGCAGUGAGGCCUCCGACAGAUAAACCACCACAAGCGAAAGUUUUUUAGCAGUGGGAGUCGAAGCAUUUGUACCAGAUCGUCUGGUAGAUGGCAUCGGGCGAAGGUGGCGGUGUGGAGUGAUGACCCACAAGUAUAGGGGAUCUAUCGUAGUCCUUUCGAUAAGUAAGAGUGUCGAACCCAACGAGGAGCAGAAGGAAAUGACAAGCGGUUUUCAGUAAGGUUUUCUCUGCAAGCACUGAAAUUGUAGGUAACAGAUAGUUUUGUGAUGAGAUAAAUUGUAACGAGUAACAAGCAAUGAAAGUAAAUAAAGUGCAGCAAGGUGGCCCAAUCCUUUUUGUAGCAAAGGACAAGCCUGGACAAUUUCUUAUAAUGAGAAAAGAGCUCCCGAGGACACAUGGGAAUUAUCGUCAAGCUAGUUUUCAUCACGCUCAUAUGAUUCGCGUUCGGUACUUUGAUAAUUUGAUAUGUGGGUGGACCGGUGCUUGGGUACUGCCCUUACUUGGACAAGCAUCCCACUUAUGAUUAACCCCUAUUGCAAGCAUCCGCAACUACAGAAGAAGUAUUAAGGUAAACCUAACCACAACAUUAGACAUAUGGAUCCAAAUCAGCCCCUUAUGAAGCAAUGCAUAAACUAGGGUUUAAGCUUCUGCCACUCUAGCAACCCAUCAUCUACUUAUUGCUUCCCAAUGCCUUCCUCUAGGCCCAAAUAAUGUUGAAGUGUCAUGUAGUCGACGUUCACAUAACACCACUAGAGGAAAGACAACAUACAUCUCAUAAAAUGUCAGGACCCCGACUCAAUGCCACAUCGAUCUAGCAUGUAACACCUCAUAUCACUUUGCGGCCUCACGCACGGUAUUCCCACAGGUGUCGCCUUACCUUUGCCCGGGACCGUUUGCGCCUUUUGGCACACGUAUAUGACAGUGUCGCUAGCAUCCAUAUGAUAAGGAGCCCGGGCUGACAUGGCUAGUCGUAAACCCAAAGUGGCACAGACUUACAGGGACAGGCAUCCAUGACCCAGCAUCGAACGUGCCAGUCAUCAGCGAGUGGAUCCAGGCUGUAGCACUGGGCUAGCAGGACUCCGAUGAACCGGGCUGUAGUGGGCUAACAGGACUCCGGUAUUCAUCGCAUGACAUUUCCCCGAAGGGACAGACACAGGAACGAAGAAGGACACAUGCCGGCCAGCCUAAGUGUUCCGGAGCAGUAGCAAGCUAUCAUGGCUCAGUGAAACACUAGGAGACAUUUCCCCAUAAGAGAGGCUACUAAAGACAAACAACUAGAUGGUUAGAUCCCACACAUACCAAGCAUUUCAAUAACAUACACACAAUAUGCUCGAUAUGUGCAAAUACAACAUGGCAUCACAACACGACUCUAUGACUCAAGUAAUUUAUUCAUUAGGCUCCGAGGAGCGAGAUAUUACAAACAGGGGUCUCACGACCCAACAUUCAGAGCAUACAAGUCAAAGCACAAGCGGAAGCUAUCAUGUCUGAGUACAGACAUCUAGAAAUGAAAAAGGCUGAGAAGCCUGACUAUCUACCAGAUCCUGCCGAGGCACAAGAUCGUAGCUGAGGUAACAAGCUAAACGUCGAAGUCCACGCGAAACUACUAGUGAGACCGAAGUCUCUCUGCAAAAACAUAAAAUAGGCAAACGUGAGUACAAAUGUACCCAGCAAGACUUACAUCAGAACUAACUACAUAUGCAUCAUUAUCAACAAAGGGGAUGGUGGGGUUUAACUGCAGCAAGCCAGCUUUGACUCGGUGGCUAUCCUGAACUACGACUGCAAUGUAACUCUUUGAGGUGGCGCACACGAGUCCACAUAUUCACCAUAUCAAUACACCACUAUGGAUCCGCUCCCGUCUCCCUACGAGAACGCCAUCCAUAGCACUCACGCUUAUCUUGCGUAUUUUAGGGUAUCCACUUUCACUUGUCUAUGAACUGAUAUAAGCAACCCAGAAGUCCUUUACCGCGGACACGGCUAUUCGAAUAGAUGAUGUUAACCCUGCAGGGGUGUACUUCUUCAUACAUGUUUCCACCACUUAGCGUCUGCACACGACAUGUGCUCGGCAGACUUCAAGCGAAAGCCGACGUGGGUGUAGACCACGACCUACCUAAACACUCAAGUCUCUAGUCCAGGUUUAUCGCCUAUUCGGGUUCCAUCCAUGAGGAGAUCCGGCCGGAGUUUCGCUCACAACCCCAAACGAUGUGAACAGGGUUCCCGAGAUACCAAACGGGCAUCCGAUACACCGUGCCACAUACCUACCGCAUCACAGCCCACCCCUACGGUCAGCGCUGUCCACGGCCUCCAGUAAGCUACAAACACCAGAAACUACUUGCAACUCCUGGACAGAGGACUAGGGUGAAUAAGAAGUCGAGCGGGGUCAUAUUUCAGGGCCCAAUGUAUGGUAGUAGCUGAAUCAUGGAUCACAAACACAGAACUCAGUUCCUGAGGAUGGCUGCAAUGAGACAACCCACCAUGUACUCCUACAUGGCCUCUCACCGCUACCUUUACCAAAUCGUGUUCACACACUUAGCUCACACACGGUAGGACAUGUUCACACGCCUCUGAUUCAUCCCUGAUGAAUCAGACCUGACUCAACUCUAAGCAGUAGCAGGCAUGACAAGCAAGCAUGAAUGAGUAGGCGCAACAGGGCUCAAACAACUCCUACUCAUGCUAGUGGGUUUCAUCUAUUUACUGUGGCAAUGACAGGUCAUGCAAAGGAUAAAGGGGUUCAGCUACCGCAGCAAGUAACAGAUGAAUCGUUUUUGUCCUAAUGCAGUAAAAGAGAGCAGGAGCGAGAGAGUGGGGUUUUAUCGGAAUGAACAAGGGGGUUUUGCUUGCCUGGCACUUCUGAAGAUAACAUUGAGUCUUCAUCAGUGUCAACGAUCACAUCAUCGGUAUCACAUCUAUCGAGAGGGGACAAAUACCGGCAACACAGAAGGGAACACAAUCAAUGCAAUGCACAAUAUGAUGCAUGAUCAUGACAUGGCAAAAUGAAUGUGUUUUGGGCUAAUGCAACUAGCAACAGAUUAAAUGAAGUUGGUUUGAAUACAAGAUUCAAAUUCAAACUCCAUAUAUGAUUAUUUAAAUGCCCUUUAAUUGAUUUGUGCUAAACAGCAGCUAUAAGUUGUUCUAACAUGCAUGAAAGUGGUACAGAUGGAUUCCUUGAAUUUUUCUGAUAAUUUUUCAUAUAUAAUUUAUUUAAUUUGGAGUUACGGUUGAAUUUCUAUGAAUUUUAGAAGUUUUAGGCAUUUUCUGAAAUUCCUGAAUAAUAAUAAAUCCAGAAAUGAAUUUACUGCGUCAGCACUGCGUCAUAGUGACGUCAGUAGGGUCAACUGGGCUGGCUCGGGUCAAACCUGACGUGUGGGGCCCAUACGUCAGUGUCUCAGUGCCAGUUAGGGUCACUGACAUGUGGACCCAGUCAAUGGCCACGUCAGCAUGGUCAACGCUGAUGCGUGGGGCCACUAGGAUUAGUUAAAAACUAAAUAGAAACUAAUCUAUGAUUAAUUAGCAGGUGGGGCCCUGCUGUCAGUGUCACUAGGUGUUGACUAAGUGCGUCAUUAGCCCGAAUUAAUCCGCCACGUCACCCUCGCCGGAGUUACGCCGGCGGCGACCAAAACGACGGCGGAGCGUUUCGGAAAAACGCUACGGGGCUCCAUUUUGAGCGCGGUUUGUUGCUACGGCUUGCUGGCGUUCUUGCGCAUCUAGUGGUAGCAGCGACAGCAGCUGGGAUGGCCUGAGUCGAUGGCGACGAGCACUUCCGCGGCGGCCGAAGUUCGGGCACCCGCGGGUUUGGCGUUGCGGUGCGCAGGAGGGGGAGCUGGUUGGUGUGUUGGGCUCCUGGGGGCUUUAUGAGCACGGUGAAGCACUCCGUCGUGGGCAUGCGCGGCUAUGGCCACGGCUGCGCCAUGGCCGGCGGCGAGAAGCUCUCGGCCGCGACGGGCAUCGGUGUUAGAGGAAGAAAACGGGCCAGGGAAGAGGGGGAAACAGCACAGGAGCUCACAGCGGGUGCAGCGGUGGCCUCGGCGAGCUCGGGGAGGGGCUGGAGCUCGCGAAUCCUCGAAAGUUCGCCGGCGGCCGAAGGUUGGGGGCGAGCUUGAGGGCGACGCUGCAGGGCUUCCGGAGGGCCGUGGAUCGGUGGGGAGGAAGAGGGGGUCGGGGCGGAGCUUCCUGGGGCGUCGGUGAGGCGUGGGGUGGCCGGUAGCCACGGUGGCUCUCGUCGGUGGCGGCGGCUCCGUUCGGGUGAGGAGAACAGAGGAGGGGGAGAGUGUUCCGGGGAGAGGACGAGGACGCGGGAGAGUGAGGAAGAGAGGCAGGGAGGUGCGUGGCGUCGCGGACGGGGUCCAGGGCGACGAGAGGAAGCAGGAGGUGGCCAGGGGGAAGCAGGAGGUGGCCGAGGCCUCUCGGGCGCGCCACGCCUCGCCUCUGUUCGUCCUCCUGGCAGAGGAGGAAGAGGACAAGGGGGAGGAGGUGGGCUGGGUCGGCCAGAUGGAGCUGGGCCAGGUAAGUGGCGCCAGGUAAGUGGCGCCAGGUAAGUGGCCCAGGUGGCCUUCUCUCCCUUUCUAUUUAUUUCUGUUCUGUUUUUCUUUUAUUUAAUUCUUUUGCCACUGUUUUGAAUUAAAAAUAAUAAUUCAAACAAUGCCAAAGCUCCUCUGAAUAUUUUAUUUUGCUAGAUGGACCUUUCCAAAAGCUCAUAAAAUAAUUCAGGGAUAUUUGAAAUUAUAUUCUAAUUAUAUGAAUAUAAUUCAAAUUCAAAUAGCUAAUGAAUUAAAUUCAAAGUCCCAAAAAUAAAUCCUUAAAAAUGUUCAAUAUUUUGGUUGGGACCAGAACCCUUGCCAAAAAUUAUCAAACAUUUAAGAAGAGCAUUUUGGAACAAUGAAUGAGAUUUUUAGGGUUUCUGCCCUUCUUUUAUUUAGGGUUUUGAGGCUUCCAAUUUCCCUCAGUUCAAAUUUCAGAAUUUAAACAUGAUGCACACAUGAAGCUAGCCUAGAGCACUACCAGCAGCUAGGGAUGUGACAACUCACCCCCACUAAACAAGAAUCUCGUCUCGAGAUUCAAGCGUAGGGUAGGAUGAAGGGGAAACGCAACUAGUAUAAUCUUCACGAUCCAGGUUGCACUUCAAAUGAACAUUGAUUUGAACACCAUCUUUGUCUUGUCGUCUUGCUCUGAGAACUCCAGCUAAUCAUGACAAGAAGAGGAAAGGAAAACUCUAGAAGGAUCGGUCUUCUCGAAGAUCGAACAACUCAGAAUUAACUCACGGAAUGUGACAUAGCAACAUCUCUCGAGCUGAGAGAUGAAGCAUACCUCUAGAGGGAUGGAGUGGAGCAGGUGACGAGGUUCACUAGGUAGACAACAAUUCCAGACUUAAGAAUGUGGUGAUCGGUUGUCAACAUAGCGAGGAGUUGAAUUGCCAUGAUACCAUAACGAUGCACCUUAGGGAAGGUGACUCGUAGAAAUAUCCCCUUAAGUGGCAAAAAGAAUUACCUUUGAUUCAAAGAUCAUUGAAACUCUUUAAACCAGCCUAAGGCAAUUCUCGAGCGAUCGUUUGGAGGGGGGUCGGUAGAAUGGCAUACUCGGACUUGGAUGAUGUGGAUUACCUUGUUGAAGACAACGCAAUGGAUAAUUUGCUUGUCACCGGAAAUGGAAGAGACCCGUGGUAGAAUGGCACAUUGGCGGUGCAAGCUGGGAAUAAAAUGCAAAUGCUGGGAAUGAUUCUAGUAACUGGGGAAGAACCCAACAAUAGAGAGUGAAUUCUCUGUUUGAGAAGGUCAUAGCAUUGCCGAGGAAACUGAGAGCAAACCCAGUUAGUGUCGAUGAUAACACCUAGCGCUUGUGCGUGCUCUCAAGAACUUGAGCAUUUCCAUAAUCAUCAAGAUUUUAUCAACAUCCGUGUCAAGGGUGCUGACAACACAACAUACUACCAUGAUGAAUAGCGAUGGACGAUGCAGAUGCAAAGGAGGAUAACACUUUCUCAGAUUUCACCUUAGCGAGGCCAAGGGAACGAAAUCUGGAUGAUCGACCGAGAGACAUUUAGCACUCCGCUUCUAAUGUUCUCCUUGAUGUGCUAGUGUAACCCAUUCAUAGAUAUGGUUUGAUAACUAGAACAUCAAGUAAAAGGUCGGACUUCGGGAGCAAUAGAAUCCAUAAGGAACAGUUACGGAGGUAAAUCCUACGAAAUCCUUAUGGGGAGGUGGCCAACUUCUUCAAUCAAGAUACUACAAUAAUAGGUCUUUCGGCUGGGUGGUGCUGGCCACGACAUCCACUUUACCAGUUAUCGAGGAACCAAUAUUAUAGUUCUUGGGGAAAUGUUCCAACCAUCAUAUCUGCCUGAGAUUCAGAUCUGGUUGGUGUCAGGAUAUUUCAGACUCAUCGAGUCUAGGAAGAAGAAUGAAGGUUUGCAACACAAAUCGACGAGAUGACGUUGCGGGAUUCUCGGGAGAUGAACUACGAUAGCAAGCUCCAAAACAUGAGCUGGUUCUGCUACAAACAUGUGAACACGUUGUCCCAGACAAGCAUGCCCGCAUGGUAGUCUUACAAUAAAACACUACCGAGUUCAGGAGGGGGAACCAUCAACGAGGGUAUCGAAGUUCUUUCAUAAGUCCGGAUUAGCUCUUAUGAAGAUACUCCUUCUCCUUGAACAAAUCAAUCAGUGGCUUGGUGUGCUAGGGAUACAUAUAGAUUGAAGGUUGCAAGUCUUCAAACCACAGCAUUCUUCGCACGUGUGCAUGACUGAUUUGGAAUGAUUCCAAAGAAAGCAACAUUGACUUUCUCGAAUCCACGGCGGCAACUUGCAUCAGAUGCACAUGAAUUAAAGGAAGUCACUACCUUCAUCCAAACAUAUGCUUCAUGAGCUAGCAUGAACAAAUGCUUUCAAAAGUUUCCAACACUAGCUUAAUGUUCAACAAAAUCAUGGAGGAGAUAAGGAUGUUGUCAAUGGGCUCAACAACAAUUCAUCUAGGUUUCCUUUUAAAAGGAAUUCCAUAGUUAAGUGAACACGGUGAUAGCAUUGGUCAGACCAAAGAUGUAAUGGUGUAUGCUCGAGGGAUCAACCACGAAUAAGACAACAUUACGAGCAUCGUUGGUACUGAUUUGAUUUGACGGUAGCCCACACUCAAAUCAAAGGAUUGACAAGACAAUAGGUCCAGCAACUGAUCACAGGGACCAAUCAAUGAAGAUAUCAUCUUUCCUCAACACACACUACACAAGAAUAUCCCUUUGGAACGAACUAAGUUAGGCAAGCUUUUAUCUUCCAAUUCUCCAAGUUGUUGUUUAGCUUAUCCAACUAGCUCAGGGUAUCCAACACGGAUUCUUGGAGAAGGGGUGGUUUACAGUAAUAAACCAACUUGAUCACGAACUCAACAUAGCGGUCAGGUGACAACCUGGUAAUACUUCUGAGAAGAUAUUCAGAAAAUCACGAACCAUCGGUAUGUUACUAAGCUCAAGAACAAUCUCGCUUUUGAGGGCAAGACGAUAUGAUCAAAUGAGUGAGGACUUGACAAGAUCCUAACUCAUCAAUCGAAGGGUGCACCGAAAUAAGGACUAGGUAGCACGAUCAGUCUUAGAAGGAUGAUUCAAAAACCAACAUGCUAAGAAUGAAAUUAUUAUCCUUUAACUACCAAGCAACGAGGUUGCUGGGAGUAUUGAUUUCACACAUCACAAUUCAUUUGUCGGUAUUCCGGUUGCAUCAACACGAGGGCCGAGGAAUGACUAAUGAUGGUGAGAAGUAUCACUACGUCAAAAUUCAUGAGAGUUGGUGCAGUUCUCAUGACAAUUCUGACAUAAAGGGGGUAAUACUCCAAGGUAGAACAGAACCAAAAGCUGGAUUGGCAUUUGAUCUGCGGAAUACAACUACUUUGACCCAAUCCUAGAUAUGGACGAGGUACUGGAGUUUGUUUCUCCAAGUCAUUCAGGACAGAAUGGCUUGACGGACCACAAGGGUAAUAGGCAUCGAUAAACGAAUGCAUGCAUACCCUUGAUAUCAAUUGAUAGACGAAGGUCAGUAGACAACUAAAGAGGGACAACUCAAAGGAACAUAUAAUUUUCUGAGUUGUGGAUGCAUAGAUUAGUAUGUCGAGCGAGAUCAACAUUUCUUCCAGAUAACCCAUGCAGAGAGGUAGGACUGGCAGAGUCACGAUUUAUGAAUGGAGAUCUCCUCAAGAGUACUCUAAUUGUGAUCUUUUGAUCCAAUAAACAUCUGCCAUAAGCGGUUCAUAGUAUUUGAAAGAAGGAAAUACCACGGACCUCGAGGACUAUCGCAAAGUUUCUAAUAUCCUGAAGGAACUAGCAAACACUAUCAACAUGAAGUAAGUAGAGUGAAUCUCGGGUUCAAAACCCAGAAAUAGAAUGCCUACUAACUAAUAACAUCACGGGAUGCUUUCGAGAAUGAUGGCCAGAAUCAUCACACUGGGAACACAAAUCAUGGCUAAAUUACUAGAUGAUCCCCUAAGACACCUAGGGUCAUAAUAAUAUCUCCAACAUAUAUGUCAAGGUAACGGAGUACCUCAACUCACUGAUUAGUGUGGUUAAUCUGGCCCAUGGGAACAUUGAAAUGGAAAGAAAGGAUUUGCAAAUGCAUCAGACUACUUAGAAACCUGGAAUGACUCGGACAGCAUAACGGCUGUAAAUGCUCAGAAAAGAUUUGAGACAUUCACAAAAAUGGUGGCAUAACCACUCAGAAGCACAAUAUCACGGUUUCGAGAUCAACAAUUAACAUACGGAAGCAGUAAAAACUGAAUAGAGGCUUAAGUCCAAAAAUCUUAUAAGUCUACGGAUUAGUAACACGUGAUCCUGAUAGUAAGAAGAGAUAGCCUAGUUCUUAAUCCCCGUAGGAAAGAUAAGAUGACUCAGAUCAGAAGGGCAUAAAGUAUAAGGAGUAAAAAGAGCCUUACGUUCCAUCCCACAAUCAAUUCCCUUAUAUAACUAAAGAAUUUCUAGACUCAACUUCGACCAGUUUGGCUUGGUAAUCCUACAGGCAGUCAAGCUCUGAUACCAAUGCUGUCAGGACCCCGACUCAAUGCCACAUCGAUCUAGCAUGUAACACCUCAUAUCACUUUGCGGCCUCACGCACGGUAUUCCCAUGGGUGUCGCCUUACCUUUGCCUGGGACCGUUUGCGCCUUUUGGCACACGUAUAUGACAGUGUCGCUAGCAUCCAUAUGAUAAGGAGCCCGGGCUGACAUGGCUAAUCGUAAACCCAAAGUGGCACAGACUUACAGGGACAGGCAUCCAUGACCCAGCAUCGAACGUGUCGGUCAUCAGCGAGUGGAUCCAGGCUGUAGCACUGGGCUAGCAGGACUCCGGUGAACCGGGCUGUAGCGGGCUAACAGGACUCCGGUAUUCAUCGCGUGACAUUUCCCCGAAGGGACAGACACAAGAACGAAGAAGGACACAUGCCGGCCAGCCUAAGUGUUCCGGAGCAGUAGCAAGCUAUCAUGGCUCAGUGAAACACUAGGAGACAUUUCCCCGUAAGAGAGGCUACUAAAGAUAAACAACUAGAUGGUCAGAUCCCACACAUACCAAGCAUUUCAAUAACAUACACACAAUAUGCUCGAUAUGUGCAAAUACAACAUGGCAUCACAACACGACUCUAUGACUCAAGUAAUUUAUUCAUUAGGCUCCGAGGAGCGAGAUAUUACAAACAGGGGUCUCACGACCCAACAUUCAGAGCAUACAAGUCAAAGCACAAGCGGAAGCUAUCAUGUCUGAGUACAGACAUCUAGAAAUGAAAAAGGCUGAGAAGCCUGACUAUCUACCAGAUCCUGCCGAGGCACAAGAUCGUAGCUGAGGUAACAAGCUAAACGUCGAAGUCCACGCGAAACUACUAGUGAGACCGAAGUCUCUCUGCAAAAACAUAAAAUAGGCAAACGUGAGUACAAAUGUACCCAGCAAGACUUACAUCAGAACUAACUACAUAUGCAUCAUUAUCAACAAAGGGGAUGGUGGGGUUUAACUACAGCAAGCCAGCUUUGACUCGGUGGCUAUCCUGAACUACGACUGCAAUGUAACUCUUUGAGGUGGCGCACACGAGUCCACAUAUUCACCAUAUCAAUACACCACUAUGGAUCCGCUCCGGUCUCCCUACGAGAACGCCAUCCAUAGCACUCACGCUUAUCUUGCGUAUUUUAGGGUAUCCACUUUCACUUGUCUAUGAACUGAUAUAAGCAACCCAGAAGUCCUUUACCGCGGACACGGCUAUUCGAAUAGAUGAUGUUAACCCUGCAGGGGUGUACUUCUUCAUACAUGUUUCCACCAUUUAGCGUCUGCACACGACAUGUGCUCGGCAGACUUCAAGCGAAAGCCGACGUGGGUGUAGACCACGACCUACCUAAACACUCAAGUCUCUAGUCCAGGUUUAUCGCCUAUUCGGGUUCCAUCCAUGAGGAGAUCCGGCCAGAGUUUCGCUCACAGCCCCAAACGAUGUGAACAGGGUUCCCGAGAUACCAAACGGGCAUCCGGUACACCGUGCCACGUACCUACCGCAUCACAGCCCACCCCUACGGUCAGCGCUGUCCACGGCCUCCAGUAAGCUACAAACACCAGAAACUACUUGCAACUCCUGGACAGAGGACUAGGGUGAAUAAGAAGUCGAGCGGGGUCAUAUUUCAGGGCCCAAUGUAUGGUAGUAGCUGAAUCAUGGAUCACAAACACAGAACUCAGUUCCUGAGGACGGCUGCAAUGAGACAACCCACCAUGUACUCCUACAUGGCCUCUCACCGCUACCUUUACCAAAUCGUGUUCACACACUUAGCUCACACACGGUAGGACAUGUUCACACGCCUCUGAUUCAUCCCCGAUGAAUCAGACCUGACUCAACUCUAAGCAGUAGCAGGCAUGACAAGCAAGCAUGAAUGAGUAGGCGCAACAGGGCUCAAACAACUCCUACUCAUGCUAGUGGGUUUCAUCUAUUUACUGUGGCAAUGACAGGUCAUGCAAAGGAUAAAGGGGUUCAGCUACCGCAGCAAGUAACAGAUGAAUUGUUGUUGUCCUAAUGCAGUAAAAGAGAGCAGGAGCGAGAGAGUGGGGUUUUAUCGGAAUGAACAAGGGGGUUUUGCUUGCCUGGCACUUCUGAAGAUAACAUUGAGUCUUCAUCAGUGUCAACGAUCACAUCAUCGGUAUCACGUCUAUCGAGAGGGGACAAAUACCGACAACACAGAAGGGAACACAAUCAAUGCAAUGCACAAUAUGAUGCAUGAUCAUGACAUGGCAAAAUGAAUGUGUUUUGGGCUAAUGCAACUAGCAACAGAUUAAAUGAAGUUGGUUUGAAUACAAGAUUCAAAUUCAAACUCCAUAUAUGAUUAUUUAAAUGCCCUUUAAUUGAUUUGUGCUAAACAGCAGCUAUAAGUUGUUCUAACAUGCAUGAAAGUGGUACAGAUGGAUUCCUUGAAUUUUUCUGAUAAUUUUUCAUAUAUAAUUUAUUUAAUUUGGAGUUACGGUUGAAUUUCUAUGAAUUUUAGAAGUUUUAGGCAUUUUCUGAAAUUCCUGAAUAAUAAUAAAUCCAGAAAUGAAUUUACUGCGUCAGCACUGCGUCACAGUGACGUCAGCAGGGUCAACUGGGCUAGCUCGGGUCAAACCUGACGUGUGGGGCCCAUACGUCAGUGUCUCAGUGCCAGUUAGGGUCACUGACAUGUGGACCCAGUCAAUGGCCACGUCAGCAUGGUCAACGCUGAUGCGUGGGGCCACUAGGAUUAGUUAAAAACUAAACAGAAACUAAUCUAUGAUUAAUUAGCAGGUGGGGCCCUGCUGUCAGUGUCACUAGGUGUUGACUAAGUGCGUCAUUAGCCCGAAUUAAUCCGCCACGUCACCCUCGCCGGAGUUACGCCGGCGGCGACCAAAACGACGGCGGAGCGUUUCGGAAAAACGCUACGGGGCUCCAUUUUGAGCGCGGUUUGUUGCUACGGCUUGCUGGCGUUCUUGCGCAUCUAGUGGUAGCAGCGACAGCAGCUGGGAUGGCCUGAGUCGAUGGCGACGAGCACUUCCGCGGCGGCCGAAGUUCGGGCACCCGCGGGUUUGGCGUUGCGGUGCGCGGGAGGGGGAGCUGGUUGGUGUGUUGGGCUCCUGGGGGCUUUAUGAGCACGGUGAAGCACUCCGUCGUGGGCAUGCGCGGCUAGGCCACGGCUGCGCCAUGGCCGGCGGCGAGAAGCUCUCGGCCGCGACGGGCAUCGGUGUUAGAGGAAGAAAACGGGCCAGGGAAGAGGGGGAAACAGCACAGGAGCUCACAGCGGGUGCAGCGGUGGCCUCGGCGAGCUCGGGGAGGGGCUGGAGCUCGCGAAUCCUCGAAAGUUCGCCGGCGGCCGAAGGUUGGGGGCGAGCUUGAGGGCGACGCUGCAGGGCUUCCGGAGGGCCGUGGAUCGGUGGGGAGGAAGAGGGGGUCGGGGCGGAACUUCCUGGGGCGUCGGUGAGGCGUGGGGUGGCCGGUAGCCACGGUGGCUCUCGUCGGUGGCGGCGGCUCCGUUCGGGUGAGGAGAACAGAGGAGGGGGAGAGUGUUCCGGGGAGAGGAUGAGGACGCGGGAGAGUGAGGAAGAGAGGCAGGAGGUGCGUGGCGUCGCGGACGGGGUCCAGGGCGACGAGAGGAAGCAGGAGGUGGCCAGGGGGAAGCAGGAGGUGGCCGAGGCCUCUCGGGCGCGCGCCACGCCUCGCCUCUGUUCGUCCUCCUGGCAGAGGAGGAAGAGGACAAGGGGGAGGAGGUGGGCUGGGCCGGCCAGAUGGAGCUGGGCCAGGUAAGUGGCGCCAGGUAAGUGGCCCAGGUGGCCUUCUCUCCCUUUCUAUUUAUUUCUGUUCUGUUUUUCUUUUAUUUAAUUCUUUUGCCACUGUUUUGAAUUAAAAAUAAUAAUUCAAACAAUGCCAAAGCUCCUCUGAAUAUUUUAUUUUGCUAGAUGGACCUUUCCAAAAGCUCAUAAAAUAAUUCAGGGAUAUUUGAAAUUAUAUUCUAAUUAUAUGAAUAUAAUUCAAAUUCAAAUAGCUAAUGAAUUAAAUUCAAAGUCCCAAAAAUAAAUCCUUAAAAAUGUUCAAUAUUUUGGUUGGGACCAGAACCCUUGCCAAAAAUUAUCAAACAUUUAAGAAGAGCAUUUUGGAACAAUGAAUGAGAUUUUUAGGGUUUCUGCCCUUCUUUUAUUUAGGGUUUUGAGGCUUCCAAUUUCCCUCAGUUCAAAUUUCAGAAUUUAAACAUGAUGCACACAUGAAGCUAGCCUAGAGCACUACCAGCAGCUAGGGAUGUGACAUAAAAAUAUCGAACGAAUACCAAAUUCACAUGACUACCAAUAGCAAGACUUCACCCAUGUCCUCAGGAAAAAAUGUAACUACUCACAAAGCAUAUUCAUGUUCAUAAUCAGAGGAGUAAUAAUAUGCAUUAAGGAUCUGAACAUAUGAUCUUCCACCAAGUAAACCAAUUAGCAUCAACUACAAGGAGUAAUCAACACUUCUAGCAACCCACAGGUACCAAUUUGUGGUUUUGAUACAAGAUUGGAUACAAGAGAUGAACUAGGGUUUUAAGAGGAGAUGGUGCUGGUGAAAAUGUUGAUGGAGAUUGACCCCCUCCCGAUGAAAGGAUCGUUGGUGAUGACGAUGGUGAUGAUUUCCUCCUCCCGGACGGAAGUUUCCCUGACGGAACAGCUCUACCGGAGCCCUAGAUUGGUUCCGCCAAGGUUCCGCCUGAUGGCGGCGGAGUUUUGUCCCGUAAGCUUGCCUCUAAUUUUUUUCAGGGUAAAAGCCUUCAUAUAGCAGAAGAUGGCCACUGGAGGGCCACCAGGGGGCCCAGGAGACAGGGGCGCGCCCAGUAGGGGUGGGCGCGCCCCCACCCUCCUGGCCAGGGUGUGGGCCACCUCUGGUGUUUUCUUCGCUCAAUAAUUCUUAUUAAUUCCAAAACUGACUUCCAUGGAGUUUCAGGAUUUUUGGAGGUGUGCAGAAGAGGUUUCCAAUAUUUGCUCCUUUUCUAGCCAGAAUUCCAGCUGCCGGCAUUCCCCCUCUUCAUGGUAAACCUUGUAAAAUAAGAGAGAAUAGCCAUAAGUAUUGAGAUAUAAUGUGUAAUAACAGCCCAUAAUGCAAUAAAUAUUGAUAUAAAAGCAUGAUGCAAAAUGGACGUAUCAUGGAGAGAGGAGGAAAACCGCGAGAUGGACAACAGUGGUGUGGGCAUGAAUUCUUGGUGGGUUAGUGGUAUGAAACUUUUGUGGUAAUGUUACAACUCAAACUGCUGGAGUUUUCCGAAUUCAGGGGAUAUCAACCAAGCGUCCACCUUGCUGGGUAUGGACAACAGGUAGCAUGUCGGGAUGCAGAGGCAUUGAACGUGGCCCUGCUGGUGAGAAGAGACGAUGGCUCUGAGGAGAUCAAAUUCAGGAAGGACAGAUAUUUGACGACAGUCAAGAUUGAGGGGCGCGGUGUGCCAUAGAGGGCGCCACCGAGUUGAGAGGACUUGUGUGCGGCAGCAAUUCUUGGUGGGGAGAAGCGAGAUGAUCUCCUCAAGGAUGACGUCUGGGAGAUCGCUGAUGCGGUCCACCGGAGAUUCUACCGGUUCCUCAGAUCCGGGUGGGGAGGAGGCUCGCCGCUUCUCCUCGUGCUACCGGGUGCGGGAUCUACAACCGGCAUCGCCGCUGGCGGGAGCCUCAUCUUCUUGGCGCUAGGGCCAGCCGACUCCAUUUUCCUUGUGGGCGUCGCGCUGAGCUCACGGGUUUGAGCAGAGUAGCGAGAGAUGAGCCUAGUGGCAGUGCGAGUGGGGAAGAAGGAGGGCUGGAGAUUUCUGUAGGAGUGGAAGAAGAGGAGCCGGCGUUUUCUGGACGAGAGAGGAAGAAGGUGAGCGGGGGUUUUCUGGACGAGUGAGGAAGAUGGGGAGCGGGGGGAAUUGGGGGGAGGGGGGAGACGGAAGCGGGAGAGCGAGUUGUUUGUGUUUAUAAGGCCCGCUGCACUAACUACUCGGUUUUUCUCAAGAACCGCUCUCUUCUUUUGCGUUGCUGCAUUGGAGCUAGCGCAUGGACUUGGCUGACUGGCCAUGCAUGCAGGAUGCAUGCCCGCCGGACACUGCAUGCGCCUGGUUUGUUACUAGGCCUAUUUAAUAGGGUGGUUAUGGAGUAAAUUAAGGAGAUUUAUUUUCUUUGUGUGCUUCCACCAAAUUAGAGGAUGCGGUACUGGAUGCAGACACUCACAUUAAACUAAGCUUCAGAAGAUACGAUAUGCAUACUAACAUUCAGAAGAACAAAAGUUCAGCAUGUCUAUGCAUCUCAAUGAUUCGCCAUACUAUAACCAAUACAAAGCUAUGAGAAGGUGUGGAAAUAAAGAAAAUCGGACGAUGCUUCUCUGAGCAAAGGGCCUCCCUGCGCACGCAUUAAUUUCCUGGGCAUGCUUGUUUCUUCUCAAUGUUGUGAGCACUUUGAGCAUGUUGGCAACUCCACAGCUAGCUAGCUACCUCAUCUUGCAAUUGAUGCUGACACAUUUGCAGCAAACACAUGAGGCAAUAGAGAUGACUCAACAUGAGUCCAUAUUGUGCAGUUCCCCUGAAAUCAUAUUCAUUGUCCUGAAUAUGAAAAGAUAGGAAAAUAGUAGCUAUACUUAAACGGUGUUGCAAAACAGUAGACAUAUCAAUAGCUUAGCAUGACAAAACACGAUCAUCUGGACGAAGGGGAUACUGACCUGCCUGAGGAAGAUUAUAUAUAAUUUCAUAAGUCCUUGGUUGAUUUCCACCUUCAGCUGCACUACUUGUUUGCUCCUCCACACAUGACAGGAUCGUUCCGCACUGCAUUCAACAAGUCAACGUACGAAUAAGCUAAUUUCAUCUUGCGAUGGUCAUUGUACCUAGUUAUGAAUGUAGGAAUACCUGGAGCACCAUGAGGUUAGCUGACAGCAGGUAGAUGCAGCCAUAUAAAUUUUGUGCGGUGCUACCAAAAUCGAGGUUUGUAUCCCUUCCCGUUAUGAGAAUUCUUCUUGAAGUUGGUAGCAUGUGACGGCUUGUUCUUUGCAUCAAACUUACCUUUCCCCUGAGAUUUGUUCUUGUUGUUUUGGGGCUGGUUGGGCUGGAAGUUCUUCUCGUGUACCAUGUGGGCACUAGAAGCUCCCUCAGCGACCCGAGCACAUGUGUCUUUUGCUCUCGCCUUCUCCUCAAAAUCAAGAGUGCUAAUGAGAUCCAAAACAGAAAACUCAUGUCUCUUGUUUCUCAGAGAAGUAGCAAAAUCGUUCCACGAAGGUGGAAGCUUGGCAAUGCUGGUCCCGGUAACAAAUUUGUCCGGCAACACACACUUAAAGUACUCAAGUUCCUUAGAGAGUGACUGUAUCUCAUGAGUCUGCUGAACAACAGAACGCUCAUCAGUCAUCUUGUAGUCACAGAAUUGCUCCAUGACGUACAACUCGUUGCCAGCGCCCGAGGGCCCAAACGUGGCCUCGAGCACAACCCACAUGUCUUUGCCGCCGUCAAACGACAUACAUGAAUCCACAAUGGAAUCAUCAAGAACACUCAGCAGGGCCGCUUUGAAGAGGGUACCCAUGUUCUGAAAAGCUUCCUGCUGUGUAGGAUUAAGAUCGCCCUCAGGCUUACCCUUAGUGGCGUCAUAGCAGUACAUGAUCUGAAACCAUUAUACUGCUAUUGUGCGCCACCUUUUAUAUUGCACCCCCUUAAAAGUAGGCGGCUUCAAAAGCGAAGCAAAACCACUCAGAGUAAAUUGCCUAUAAUCAGGUUUUUGGAUUGGAUUGUUGAAUAUAUGAGCAAUUUAUUAUGAGAUUUAAUCCGAAUCAGCAGUAAAUAGAUCAUGACGACAAUUGCAAAUAUCAAAGUAAUGAUGCGGACUAAACCAGGAGGAUAGAAUCACAUACUGUACAGCGGGAGCAGAACCGAUGUGGUUGAUGUUGUCACUCAUGUCAUUGAUGAAGAGGUUACCGAGGUCGGGGAAGAAGGCUGUCAUUGAGGAAGUCGUCGCUGGCAGCAGUCACAUGAGUGUGCACCCCAAAAACCUGAUCGCCCCUCUCCCGUACAGGAUCACGAAAGGCGGGGUUCGGAGGACUGUUGUCCCUUCUCGCGGUGCAUGCCGGAAGGAGGGCUGGAGAAGAAUUGUGUGGCGGCGCUAAGAUCUGGAACGGUGCGAAACCAUAUGAUACAGCGGCGGCUAGGGUAGAGCAUGUCAGGUCGGUCGUGUGAGUAUAAUAGUAGGCCUUUGGCCCCCAAACCCCACGUCCAAGUCAAUAAUAGCCCCACCAAUGUUUGUCUCAAAAAAAAAGGAGUAAUUAAGGCGUCUGUUAGUCCCUUUAGUAUAAAUACUAUAUCAUUAAUAAUGGCCCCACCUUUUGUCUCACAAAGUAUGUUGGAGUACAUCUAGCUACACGUUUACAAUCCGCUUCUCUUCUCUCUCCUCUUCUCUCUCCUUCAACUAAGCAAAAUACUAUAUUUAAAUCCUUAUAGCCUACUUAUGUCAUCUAAUUGUAGUACUUGCUCUAAAGUUACUCUCCACUGUGUAGUCUGAAAUGCCGGGCAUGCAGCGGGCGUUGCCCUCGGUCGGCACGCCGCUUCAACGGCGGAAGUAGUGAGAGGUCGUGUCGCCCUGACUUGCCAUCAAUAUGGAGCGGCGGUCUCAGUUGGCACCGGGCGGGAAGCGCGCGCGGGAGGGGGAGGGGUUUUUGUUGGUCCAAGAAGGUGAGAAGCCAACUUGGGAUCGGCCGGACGGGGAAAUAUCAUGUGCUCCCAUACUCUGCAUAUGACACUAGCCUAUGUUACUACUCCCUCCUUUCCGGUUUAUAGAGAUGCUUAGUGUAACAUAGUAAUAUGUUACAGUAUAAGUUACUCCCCACUAUGACCAGCCUUGUGUUGGAAAUAUGCCCUAGAGGAAAUAAUAAAUUAGUUAUUAUUAUAUUUCCUUGUUCAUGAUAAUCGUUUAUUAUCCAUGCUAUAAUUGUAUUGAUAGGAAACUCAGAUACAUGUGUGGGUACAUAGACAACACCAUGUCCCUAGUAAGCCUCUAGUUGACUAGCUCGUUGAUCGAUAGAUGGUUACGGUUUCCUAACCAUGGACAUUGGAUGUCAUUGAUAACGGGAUCACAUCAUUUGGAGAAUGAUGUGAUGGACAAGACCCAAUCCUAAGCCUAGCACAAAGAUCGUAGUUCGUAUGCUAAAGCUUUUCUAAUGUCAAGUAUCAUUUCCUUAGACCAUGAGAUUGUGCAACUCCCGGAUACUGUAGGAAUGCUUUGGGUGUACCAAACGUCACAACGUAACUGGGUGACUAUAAAGGUGCACUACAGGUAUCUCCGAAAGUGUCUGUUUGGUUGGCACGAAUCGAGACUGGAAUUUGUCACUCCGUGUAAACGGAGAGGUAUCUCUGGGCCCAGUCGGUAGGACAUCAUCGUAAUGUGCACAAUGUGAUCAAAGAGUUGAUCGCGGGAUGAUGUGUUACGGAACGAGUAAAGAGACUUGCCGGUAACGAGAUUGAACAAGGUAUCGGUAUACCGACGAUCGAAUCUCGGGCAAGUACAAUACCAUUAGACAAAGGGAAUUGUAUAAGGGAUUGAUUGAGUCCUUGAUAUCGUGGUUCAUCCGAUGAGAUUAUCGUGGAACAUGUGGGAACCAACAUGGGUAUCCAGAUCCCGCUGUUGGUUAUUGACCGGAGAUCGUCUUGGUCAUGUCUGCAUGGUUCCCGAACCCGUAGGGUCUACACACUUAAGGUUCGAUGACGAUAGGGUUAUAAAGGAAGUUUGUAUGUGGUUACCGAAUGUUGCUUGGAGUCCCGGAUGAGAUCCCAGAUGUCACGAGGAGUUCCGGAAUGGUCCGGAGGUAAAGAUUUAUAUAUGGGAAGUCCUGUUUUGGUCACCAAAAAAGUUUCGGGUUUUAUCGGUAACGUACUGGGACCACCAGGAGGGUCCCGGGGGUCCACCAAGUGGGGCCACCAUCCUCGGAGGGCAGCAUGGGCCAAGUGUGGGAGGGGACCAGCCCCAGGUGGGCUGGUGCCCCCCCCCACAAGGGCCCAAGGCGCCUAGGGUUUGGGGAGGGGGCGCCCCACCUUGCUUGGGGGGCAAGUUUCCCCCUCUCCCCCCUUGGCCGCCCCCCUAGAUGGGAUCUAGGGCUGGCCACCGCCCCUAGGGGUGGAAACCUAGGUGGGGGCGCAGCCCCCUCUCCCCCUAUAUAUAGUGGAGGCAUAGGAGCAGCCCAAGACACAAGUUUCUUCUCUUGUUGGCGCAGCCCUACCUCUCUUUUUCCUCAUAUCUCACGGUGCUUGGUGAAGCCCUGCUGGAUCACCACGCGCCUCCAUCACCACCACGCCGUUAUGCUGCUGCUGGAUGGAGUCUUCCUCAACCUCUCCCUCUCUCCUUGCUGGAUCAAGGCAUGGGAGACGUCACCGGGCUGUACGUGUGUUGAACACGGAGGUGCCGUCCGUUCGGCACUAGGAUCUCCGGUGAUUUGGAUCACGACGAGUACGACUCCUUCAACCUUGUUCUCUUGAACGCUUCCGCUUAGCGAUCUACAAGGGUAUGUAGAUGCACUCUCCUUUCCCUCGUUGCUAGUCUCUCCAUAGAUAGAUCUUGGUGACUCGUAGGAAAAUUGUGAAUUUCUGCUACGUUCUCCAACAGUGGUAUCAGAGCUAGGUCUAUUGCGUAGAUUCUUUGCACGAGUAGAACACAAAGUAGUUGUGGGUGUUGAUUUUGUUCAAUAUGCUUACCGUUACUAGUCCAAUCUUGUUUCGACGGUAUUGUGGGAUGAAGCAGCCCGGACCGACCUUACACGUACACUUACGUGAGAUAGGUUCCACCGACUGACAUGCACUUGGUGCAUAAGGUGGCUAGCGGGUGCCAGUCUCUCCCACUUUAGUCGGAACAGAUUCGAUGAAAAGGGUCCUUAUGAAGGGUAAAUAGCAAUUGGCAUAUCACGUUGUGGUUUUGCAUAUGUAAGAAACGUUCUUGCUAGAAACCCAUAGCAGCCACGUAAAACAUGCAAACAACAAUUAGAGGACGUCUAACUUGUUUUUGCAGGGUAUGCUAUGUGAUGUGAUAUGGCCAAGAAGAAUGUGAUGAAUGAUAUGUGAUGUAUGAGAUUGAUCAUGUUCUUGUAAUAGGAAUCACGACUUGCAUGUCGAUGAGUAUGACAACCGGCAGGAGCCAUAGGAGUUGUCUUUAUUUAUUGUAUGACUUGUGUGUCAUUGAACAACGCCAUGUAAUUACUUUACUUUAUUGCUAACCGGUAGCCAUAGUAGUAGAAGUAAUAAGUUGGCGAGACAACUUCAUGGAGACACGAUGAUGGAGAUCAUGAUGAUGGAGAUCAUUGUGUCAUGCCGGUGACGAUGAUGAUCAUGGAGCCCCGAAGAUGGAGAUCAAAAGGAGCAAAAUGAUAUUGGCCAUAUCAUGUCACUUUUUGAUUGCAUGUGAUGUUUAUCAUGUUUAUGCAUCUUAUUUGCUUAGAACAACGAUAGUAAAUAAGAUGAUCCCUCAUUAAAAUUUCAAGAAAGUGUUCCCCCUAAUUGUGCACCGUUGCGAAAGUUCGUCGUUUCGAAGCACCACGUGAUGAUCGGGUGUGAUAGAUUCUUACGUUCACAUACAACGGGUGUAAGCCAGAUUUACACAUGCAAAAUACUUAGGUUGACUUGACGAGCCUAGCAUGUACAGACAUGGCCUCGGAACACAAGAGACCGAAAGGUCGAGCAUGAGUCGUAUAGUAGAUACGAUCAACAUGAAGAUGUUCACCGAUGAUGACUAGUCCGUCUCACGUGAUGAUCGGACACGGCCUAGUUGACUCGGAUCAUGUAAUCACUUAGAUGACUAGAGGGAUGUCUAUCUGAGUGGGAGUUCAUAAGAUGAACUUAAUUAUCCUGAACAUAGUCAAAAGAUCUUCGCAAAUUAUGUCAUAGCUCGCACUUUAGUUCUACUGUUUUAGAUAUGUUCCUAGAGAAAAUAUAGUUGAAAGUUGACAGUAGCGAUUAUGCGGACAGUAGAAAGCUUAUGUCCUUAAUGCACUGCUCAGUGUGCUGAACCCCAAACGUCGUCUGUGGAUGUUGCGAACAUUGGACAUACACGUUUUGAUAACUACGUGAUAGUUUAGUUAAACGGUUUAGAGUUGAGGCACCAAAGACGUUUUCGAAACAUCGCGGAACAUAUGAGAUGUUUCGAGGGCUGAAAUUGGGAUUUCAGGAUCGUGCCCACGUCAAGAGGUAUAAGACCUCCGACAAUUUUCUUAGCCUGCAAACUAAGGGAGAAGAGCUCAAUCGGUGAGCUUGCGCUCAGAUCGUCUGAGUGCAACAAUCACUUGAAUUGAGUGGGAGUUGAUCUUCCAGAUGAGAUAGUGAUGUUUCUCCAAAGUCAUUGCCACCAAGCUGCUAGAGCUUCGUGAUGAACUAUAACAUAUCAGGGAUGGAUAUGAUGAUCCUUGAGGUAUUCGCGAUGUUUGACACCGCGAAAGUAGAAAUCAAGAAGGAGCAUCAAUUGUUGAUGGUUGGUAAAACCACUAGUUUCAAGAAGGGCAAGGGAAAGAAGGGAUACUUCAUGAAACAGCAAAUCAGUUGCUGCUCUAGUGAAGAAACCCAAGGUUGAACCCAAACCCGAGACUAAGUGAUUCUGUAAUAAGGGGAACAACCACUGGAGCAGAAUUAUCCUAGAUACUUGGUAGAUGAGAAGGCUGGCAAGGUCGAUAGAAGUAUACUGGAUAUACAUUAUGUUAAUGUGUACUUUGCUAGUACUCCUAGUAGCACCAGGGUAUUAAGAUCCCGGUUCAGUUGCUAAGUGCUAGUAACUCGAAAUAAAAGAGCUACGGAAUAAACGGAGACUAGCUAAUGGUGAGCUGACGAUAUGUGUUGGAAGUGCUUCCAAGGUUGAAGUGAUCAAGCAUCGUACGCUCCCUCUACCAUCAAGAUUGGUGUUAAAACUAAAAAAUUGUUAUUUGGUGUUUGCGUUGAGCAUAGACAUGACUGGAUUAUGUCUAUCGCAAUACGGUUAUUCAUUUAAGGAGAAUAAUGGUUACUCUGGUUAUUUGAAUAAUACCUUCAAUGGUCUUGCACCUGAAAUGAAUGAUUUAUUGAAUCUCGAUCGUAGUGAUACACAUUUUCAUGCCAAAAGAUAUAAGAUAGUAAUGAUAGUACCACUUACUUGUGGCACUGCCAUGUAAGUCAUAUUGGUAUAAAACGCAUGAAGAAGCUCCAUGUUGAUGGAUCUUUGGACUCACUCAUUUUUGAAAAGUUUGAGACAUGCGAACCAUGUCUAUUGGUGUAUACGCAUGAAGAAACUCCAUGCAGAUGGAUCGUUUGGACUCACUUGAUUUUGAAUCACUUGAGAUAUGCAAAUCAUACCACAUGGGAAAGAUGACUAAAAAGCCUCAUUUUUUAGUAAAAUGGAACAAGAUAGCAACUUGUUGGAAGUAACACAUUUUGAUGUGUGCGGUCCAAUGAGUGUUGAGGCAUGCAGUGAAUAUCGUUAUGUUCUUACUUCACAGAUGAUUCGAGUAGAUGUUGAGUAUAUUUACUUGAUGAAACACAAGUCUGAAUUAUUGAAUGGUUCAAGUAAUUUCAGAGUGAAGUUGAAGAUCAUCGUGACAAGAGGAUAAAAUGUCUAUGAUAUGAUCAUAGAGAUGAGUAUCUGAGUUACGAGCUUUGGCACGCAAUUAAGACAUUGUGGAAAUUGUUUCACAAUUAAUACCGCCUGGAACACCAUAGUGUGAUGGUGUGUCCGAACAUCAUAGUUGGACCCUAUUGGAUAUGGUGCGUACCAUGAUGUCUCUUAUUAAAUUACCACUAUCAUUCAUGGGUUAGGCAUUAGAGACAACCACAUUCACUUUAAAUAGGGCACCACGUAAUUCCGUUGAGAUGACACCGUAUGAACUAUGGUUUAGAGAAAUCUAAGCUGUCAUUUCUUAAAGGUUUGGGGUCGCGACGCUUAUGUGAAAAAGUUUCAGGUUGAUAAGCUCGAACCCAAAGCGGAUAAAAUGCAUCUUCAUAGGACACCCAAAAUAGUUGGGUAUACCUCCUAAUUUAGAUCCGAAAGCAAUAGGAUUGUUUCUUGAAUCGGGUCCUUUCUUGAGGAAAAGUUUGUCUCGAAAAGUUGAGUGGGAGGAUGGUGGAGACUUGAUAUGGUUAUUGAACCGUCACUACAACUAGUAUGUAGCAGGGCACAGGAAGUUGUUCCUGUGGCACCUACACCAAUUGAAGUAGAAGCUUAUGAUAGUGAUCAUGAAACUUCGGAUCAAGUCACUUCCGUACCUCGUAGGGUGAGAAGGAUGCGUACUGCUUCAGAGUGGUACAGUAAUCCUGUCUUGAAGGUCAUGUUGCUAGACAACAAUGAACCUACGAGCUAUGGAGAAGCGAUGGUGGAACCAAAUUCCGACAAAUGGUUAGAAGCCAUGAAAUCCGAGAUAGGAUCCAUGUAUCAGAACAAAGCAUGGACUUUGGUGGACUUGCCCAAUGAUCGGCAAGCCAUUGAGAUAAAUGGAUCUUUAAGAAGAAGACGGGCAUGGAUGGUAAUGUCACCAUCUAUGAAGCUCGACUUGUGGCGAAGAGUUUUUCACAAGUUCAAGGAGUUGACUACGAUGAGAUUUUCUCAUCCCUAGCGAUGCUUAAAGUCUGUCGGAAUCAUGUUAGCACAAGCUGCAUUUAUGAAAUCUGGCAGAUGGAUGUCAAAAUGAGUUUCCUUACCAGUUUUCGUAAGGAAAGGUUGUAUGCAAUACAAUCAGAAAGGUUUUGUCGAUCCUAAGGAUGCUAAAAGGUAUGCUAGCUCUAGCGAUCCUUCUAAGGACUAGAGUAAGCAUCUCGGAGUUGGAACGUACGCUUUGAUGAGAUGAUCAAAGAUUUUGGAUUUAUACAAAGUUUAUGAGAAACUUGUAUUUCCAAAGAAGUGAGUGGGAGCACUAUAGAUUUUCUGAUGAGUAUAUGUUGUUGACAUAUUGUUGAUCAUAAAUGAUGUAGAAUUUCUGGAAAGCAUAUAGGGUUAUUUGAAAAGUGUUUUUCAAUAGAAAACCUGGAUUAAGCUACUUGAACAUUGAGCACCCAGAUCUAUGAGGAUAGAUCAAAAAUCACUUAAUAGACUUUCAAAUGAGCAUAUACCUUGACAUGAUCUUGAAGGUGUUCAAGAUGGAUCAGUCCAAGAAGAAGUUCUUGCCUGAGAUGUAAGGUAUGAAGUUAAGACUUAAAGCUCGACCACAGCAGAAAAGAGAGAAAGGACGAAGGUCGUCCCCUAUGCUUUAGACGUAGGCUCUACAGUAUGUUAUGCUGUGUACCACACCUGAUAUGUGCCUUGCUACAUAUCUGGCAAGAGGGUACAAAGGUGAUCAAGGAGUGGAUCACCAGAUAGCGGUCAAAAUUAUCCUUAGAGGAAUAAGGAUAUGUUUCUCGAUUAUGGAGGUGAUAAAGAGUUCGGCGUAAAGGGUUACGUUGAUGCAAGCUUUAACACCUAUCUGAAUGACUCUGAGUAGCAAACCGGAUACGUAUAGUGGAGCAACCAUUUGGAAUAGCUCCAAGUGGAGCGUGGAAGCAGCAUUUACAAUAUGACCUAGAAAUUUGCGAAGAACAUACGGAUCUCAAUGUUGCAGACCCGUUGACUGAAACCUCUCUCACAAGCAAAACAUGAUCAAACCCCUAAACUCAUUGAGUCUUAAUCACAUGAUGAUGUGAACUAGUUUAGUGACACUAGUAAACUCUUUGGAUGUUGGUCACAUGGCGAUGUGACCUAUCAGUGUUAAUCACAUAGCGAUGUGAACUAGAUUAUUGACUCUAGUGCAAGUGGGAGACUGUUGGAAAUAUGCCCUAGAGGCAAUAAUAAAUUAGUUAUUAUUAUAUUUCCUUGUUCAUGAUAAUCGUUUGUUAUCCAUGCUAUAAUUGUAUUGAUAGGAAACUCAGAUACAUGUGUGGGUACAUAGACAACACCAUGUCCCUAGUAAGCCUCUUGUUGACUAGCUCGUUGAUCGAUAGAUGGUUAUGGUUUCCUAACCGUGGACAUUGGAUGUCGUUGAUAACAUGAUCACAUCAUUUGGAGAAUGAUGUGAUGGACAAGACCCAAUCCUAAGCCUAGCACAAAGAUCGUAGUUCGUAUGCUAAAGCUUUUCUAAUGUCAAGUAUCAUUUCCUUAGACCAUGAGAUUGUGCAACUCCCGGAUACCGUAGGAAUGCUUUGGGUGUACCAAACGUCACAAUGCAACUGGGUGACUAUAAAGGUGCACUACAGGUAUAUCCGAAAGUGUCUGUUUGGUUGGCACGAAUCGAGACUGGAAUUUGUCACUCCGUGUAAACGGAGAGGUAUCUCUAGGCCCACUCGGUAGGACAUCAUCGUAAUGUGCACAAUGUGAUCAAAGAGUUGAUCGCGGGAUGAUGUGUUACGGAACGAGUAAAGAGACUUGCCGAUAACGAGAUUGAACAAGGUAUCGGUAUACUGACGAUCGAAUCUCGGGCAAGUACAAUACUGUUAGACAAAGGGAAUUGUAUACGGGAUCGGUUGAGUCCUUGACAUCGUGGUUCAUCCGAUGAGAUCAUCGUGGAACAUGUGGGAACCAACAUGGGUAUCCAGAUCCUGCUGUUGGUUAUUGACCGGAGAUCGUCUCGGUCAUGUCUGCAUGGUUCCCGAACCCGUAGGGUCUACACACUUAAGGUUCGAUGACGAUAGGGUUAUAAAGGAAGUUUGUAUGUGGUUACCAAAUGUUGUUCGGAGUCCCGGAUGAGAUCCUGGACGUCACGAGGAGUUCCGGAAUGGUCCGGAGGUAAAGAUUUAUAUAUGGGAAGUCCUGUUUUGGUCACCGGAAAAGUUUCGUGUUUUAUCGGUAACGUACCGGGACCACCGGGAGGGUCCCGGGGGUCCACCAAGUGGGGCCACCAUCCCUGGAGGGCAGCAUGGUCCAAGUGUGGGAGGGGACCAGCCCCAGGUGGGCUGGUGCGCCCCCCCACAAGGGCCCAAGGCGCCUAGGGUUUGGGGAGGGGCCGCCCCACCUUGCCUGGGGGGGCAAGUUUCCCCCUCUCCCCCCCUUGGCCGCCCCCUAGAUGGGAUCUAGGGCUGGCCGCCGCCCCUAGGGGUGGAAACCUAGGUGGGGGCGCAGCCCCCUCCCCCCUUAUAUAUAGUGGAGGCAUAGGAGCAGCCCAAGACACAAGUUUCUUCUCUUGUUGGCGCAGCCCUACCUCUCUUUAUCCUCAUAUCUCGCGGUGCUUGGCGAAGCCCUGCUGGAUCACCACGCUCCUCCAUCACCACCACGCUGUUGUGCUGCUGCUGGAUGGAGUCUUCCUCAACCUCUCCCUCUCUCCUUGCUGGAUCAAGGCAUGGGAGACGUCACCGGGCUGUACGUGUGUUGAACGCGGAGGUGUCGUCCGUUCGGCACUAGGAUCUCCGGUGAUUUAGAUCACGACGAGUACGACUCCUUCAACCCCGUUCUCUUGAACACUUCCGCUUAGCGAUCUACAAGGGUAUGUAGAUGCACUCUCCUUCCCCUCGUUGCUAGUGUCUCCAUAGAUAGAUCUUGGUGACUCGUAGGAAAAUUGUGAAUUUCUGCUACGUUCUCCAACACCUUGGCCUCUCCCAGUGCUCCACCAUGUAUAGCUGCUAAGCCUGCCACGUAGGCAUAAAAUAUGAUGUGGUACCAAUAAACUAAGCGCCUAUGCAUUGAAGACUUGAGUUACUAAGCCAUUUAAUGCACUUAGCACCUUAUCUAAGCACAUCUAAGCACUUACUAGCACCCCCUUGAUCGUGGACCUUGACGGUGUACGUCACCUUGUGUCUUAUAAUUUUCCUCGUCAUCAUCUGAGUCCUAGAAGAUCUCACCCACAUCAUCAUUAGCAUGCAGCCGCCUUGAUAGACAACAUGCGCAGAAGGAGUAGAGGCGACUGGGGACGCACCAUGUCAUGGGCACUCCGUACAUGCUCGUGUGUGUGCAGCGUGCGUGUUUUUCCAUUGCUAGCUCUAAGGCCAAGGCUGCGGUCGUCUUCGUCUCCGACUAGUCGUUGAGCAAUGACGGCAAAGAGGUGCUGCAAGAGAUGCGUAGGCGCCGUUGCGUGCGAGCUUCACCGUAGCACGACGAACCAGACGUCACCGCAGAUGGCGCACGCCUCCAUGCAGCCGAGUGUGUGCACAUGCAUGUGUUAUUCACGUUCAUUCUGCGGCCGAGCGUGUGUGCAUGCACGUGUUCUGUACGUGCGUUGUGUGCUCCAUGCUGUGUGCGUAAGUGCAUGAGUUGGAUCAGAUGGAGUUAGUGCGUUGGCUUAUGUACAUGCAUGGCUGCAUGCGUCCUGUACAUGCGUGGCUUGCUGCGUGGUUAUCAAUAUAAACUACUUCCUCCAUUCCUAAAUAUAAGGCUUUCUAGCCAUUUCAAAUAGACUACAAUAUACGGAUGUAUGUAGACAUAUUUUAGAGUGUAGAUUCACUCAUUUUGUUUCGUAUGUAGUCCCUUAUUGAAAUCUCUAAAAAGACUUAUAUUUGGGAACGGAGGGAGUAUAAAACAUCUUCAACUUAGCAUCCUAAUGUACCGUUUCUAGUGGUUAGCCAAGAGUUCAUCUUCUUUUAUUUGUUUACUAGGAAACAUGUCCAUGUGUUGCAACGGAAGAAAACAGCCCUCACACGCCUUACCCACUAAACAUGGCUAAAGAGCUCACCCUCAUGCCCAUAACAUAAUAAACAUGACUAAUACCUCAUCCUCAGGUCCACAUCCUCCAUUUCAAUAUAACAUCAGCCACAUGUUUCCGCUUGUCGUCUUUGUCGUCCUCCUCGUCGGUGGUCGCAGUAUGAGUUGUCACUAACCAAGGUUGGCAAGGUCCAACAGCUGUAUUGUUGAGCCGUCUUCGUGUCCGACAAAGAUCAAGAGUGUUGAACGCGGUUUUUUAUCAUCUGGCUUAUAUAAUAGGGAAAAACACUGCACAUAAUAUAUGUUUGUGUCAUCAUGUAAAUUCAGUAGUUUGUGUCAGAUAGACCAUGCAUGAAACCUUGGUUGGACUUCUCAUGCAUUUUGACGGGAGUCACUGGGCAGAGUGAGACUGGUUGUAUGUGAAGAUGCGACAGAGAAUAAGAUUCUUUCCAUAUCCCUAGUUUAAUAAAGUGAAGUAAAACAAAGCUUCAUGUGGGCAUAUUUCAAAAAUUCGCCCAAGUUUUAUUAAUAUAGGUAUAGAUUAAAACAAUUUAGCUAUAGUACCUCCCAGUUUAAAAAAACAUGUUUAUAAAAAUGUUUGCCUUUUCAAAUUUAAUGUUCAGAAAAUAUUUGUGUUUUUAAAAUGUUUGCAAAUUCGAGAAAUAUGACAACAGUACAUCCUACUUUUAAAAAAUUGUUUGUGCUUUAGAAAAUGUUCAGGUUUCAAAAAAAAA